UGAGAAAAGCACGCCAUGUACCGAGCCAGGAGCAUCGUAAUUUUCCCCGCUGUGCAAGCCCCGCGUUGUAAAUUAUGUCGCAUUGCAUUCUUGUAAAUGAGCCUUUCCCUUCUCCCCUUCCAUUUUGUCCAGCAGAUAGCAUUGUGAUGUGCUAGAGAGUACCGUUGUACCUUUUGAGACAUUAUCUCUGGAAGUAAAAUCUACCUAAACUUUGGCUGGUCACCUGGCAUGGAUUGCGAUUUGCGACAGUGGAUGAUAUGAACCGAACUGGUAUGGCUGUCGAUUCUCGGGAUCAUACAGUGCAGCAAUCAGGUUUAUGCCUCUAAAUUUUCAGUGAGCAUAUUGAAGUAUAACUAAAAACCGAUAAAAUUUGCUAAAUGUAUUAGGUACAUCCGUAUCUAGACAAAUCUAAGACAAGAAUUUUGGGAUGGAGGGAGUAUGUCACAAGUCACUGAUAUUUGAUAUGAUACAUGUGGAACCAGCUCCUCAGAAUAUAUUACUCAACCAGUGUAGUGUGUCAAUCUUAGACUGACAGUGUAACUGGUGAGAAACAUGGCGAGCCCAGAGUUUGCACUACCAAAUAGCUCAAAGCUAUCGUCGCUAGUCUGUAGAGUAAUUGCAGAUUGAAGAAUUAACACAGAUUGUUGAAUAAGUUACAAUGGCCCGUCGCUAGUCUGUAGAGUAAUUGUAGAUUGAAGAGUUAACACAGAUUGUUGAAUAAGUUACAAUGGCCCAUUGAUCGGCCAAUAUUCUUGUAAGAUGAAGUUGCAAUGCAAUGGAGCACACAUUGUCAGCGACCCAAUUACGGCCACAGCAGCCCAUGGGCCGGGCCUGGUUGAGUGCCACAUGAAGGGAGGCCUGACUACAAGUAUCCACGUAGGAAGCAGCGAAGAGGCAUCCGGGCUUGGAUCAGGCAAAGGCAACGGCGGCUCUCUCCUUACCCUUAUCUUCUCCUACCUGCUGUUCUUCCUCCUCCCUCCUUCCCCAAAUCCAUGUAUCUGAACUCGAAUCAUCUGUAAUGGAGUAAUUCGCGUGCGGAACCUAACAUCGUGGCAUCAGAGCCUUCUCACCACCCUUCCAAAAUUCGUUCAAAAUUUUGCCCAAUUUUUUUUCCCUCGCACCAUUCUCUCCACCACCAUGCAUCCCGAGUUGAAAGCUUGCCUUGACGAGUUCAAGGCGAAGGCUCAGGCACGCUUCGAGGCCAGUGCCAGGCUGUUCGCGCAGCACGACGAGCUGCUCUCCAAGCUCCUCACGGGAGCUUCGACCCCGCAGCCGGCGCGCUCUGCGGUCAUGGCCUCCAAUGGCGACCUCACUGUCAACGCCACUGUCGUGGCGGUCGUCCCCGACACCUCUUCCUUUGCCACCAAGGCCCAAGAGGUCAUCGCGCCCCCCUAUGGCGCGUUCCUGGACUCCAUCGAUCUGAUGCCCAUGACCUGUUCGAUGGCUGGCUCGACCCAAGUCGCCUGUGCUGCGAACGCCAACGAGGUCCACAACGUCACCACAUCCGUCCGCCUCGAGCCUUUGGUCGCCCACAUCCACCAGGAGGUCGACGCCGAGAUCGUCACCCCGGUGGCAACCACCACCGAUGUCUUCUCCGCCACUACCCAAGCCCAAGAGCCCCCCACGUCCGCCAAUGAUUCAUCCCCAGUUUCCAUUGAGAUGAUGGCCGUCACCUGCUCGACGGAGUGCUUGACCCAAGAAGUAGAGCAACUCAUGCCGGAGUCUUCUAUCAGCACCAACACCGCUACUUCCGAGGUUCUGUCCUCUGCGCCCGUCACCUCCGACAUCAUCCCAAGUGUUGCCACGGCAGCCAAUCCAGUGUCGACGAAGUGCUUGGCAGAAACCCAUGUCUACGCAAAUGACUCUGUGCAGCUUCUGAUCGCCGCCAUCGACAGUGCCGACGAGACACAUGCCACUGCCACCACUGAGAGCUUUGAACAUCAACCAUGGCCACCGCCUGUAGAAGUGCAGACCAGUCACAUGGGACAACUUUUCAGGCCUAGCCCGUGGCCGUCGUUCAGACCUCUAUCAGUCACAAGCUACCCGGAAGAGACAUGUUCAAGUAUCCACAGUCAAUCACAUAGAGGUUCCUGCUUUAGUCCUUGGUUAGUUUGGUUGAUGUUCAGAGAUGUUCACCUGGAGAAGCAUGGUAAUGGAACUGAUACAAUCAUGCCGUGCACCAGUGGAAUUCAACAUAAUGUGCCUGAACGUUUAAGUGAAAUUGCAAGGAGAUGUUCGGUUGAUGUUCAGAUAUGUUCGCCGGGAGAUGGUCUAGCAAUCGCAAGGGAGUCCGAUGUUCCUAUGAAAAUCAGAAAAAUGGAUAAAGGCUCCGUGGGUUCAAGUGUGGCUGUAGAUGUAAUCUCUCUUACAAGAUGUGCAACAUGCAAAUAUCAAUUUUCAAGAGAUUCAAGCAUGACUGAUUUUCCGGCUGGAUCAGAAGUUGAAAACGAAGAUGAAUAUUAUGAAUGGAAUACAACUCCUGGAUUGGUUGGGUGUGAAGCUAGCUUAAACCUCCAGAGUAUAGACGAAUGCUCAGCAGACACUGACAGCGAAACUGAUAAACAUCUGACAGUUGCGAGUUUCUUGGUGAUUUGAACCCCUCAUCUCUUCAGAAGUACUCCCUACUUAUGUCUGAACUAGAAUCCCAAUUUGCAUAUUCCAGAAAGGUGGACAACUUAUUCAAAAAUGGUGUUCUGCUGCUAGUUGAUAACUCUUGCUUGGUAAAUUCAGUAUGCUUUGUACCUGGUCAUCAGAAUGAUCUUGCUGUUACUAAUGUCGAUGGCAUGCUCAAGUCGACUGCUGAAGAUAACUGCAGUACACGCAUUUUAAUACAGGGAAAUGCAUUGCGUUUUCCCUGUGAGGCUAGACCUGAACAGCAUGAGGACAUAUGCAACAGGGAGAGUGCCGCUGGAGUUUCUACAAAUUUGCAAGUGCAAGAGCAUGCUGCCAUAUGCAACUUUCCUACAUCCGACCAUCAGUCAAGGAUGAAAGAAAACUGCAAGAAAUGCUACCUUAUACUCCAUUGCAGAAUUUUCUGGUCUCUUCAGUGGAGCAGUAAACCAUGGUCUUCUGGACAUCUUGAAUCUUAUCUGAAUUCUUACUCAAUCAGCGUCACUCUGAAUUGCAACUAUGGGCAUUUGUAUGUGCAGCUUGAGAAGUUACGGGCCACUGGAAUUGAGGGAGAGAUAUUUGGUCAAAACUGUACUUCCUGCUGCGUCUGGGAUCUUUGAGCCGAGCCAAGGAAUUCAAAGGAUAGUUCUGCACAGUUUCACAAAGUCCAGUCUAGGUGCAACCUCAAAUGGCCCAUUCCAGCAGCUCCAUUCACAAAUGUGCAUCAACUACUUGGAUAUAUGAGUUCGCUUUGCUUUGGUUUUAUUCAAGGAGUUUCCUGUGAUUAUGGUUCUUCUACUUCUGCUUGUACUCUCUACAUUGGUGAUCAAUCCCCGGUGGCCUUCAUUCCAUCCGCAAGAACUGCUCCUUAUGUUGUGUGGUCUACAAGAUAUAUGCAGAUCGUCUUUGAAGGAUCACAUGAGGGUCUAAUUCUUCAUACAGAAUUCAGAAGCUAUAUGCGAACUAAUUCAGAGUCUCUGCACCUCAUUGGAGUUCUUGGGGAAUUGACUCAAUCUUGGAGCUUUACUGAUCAUGUCAGUACCUUGUCAAGCUAUUGGUGGUGUUUCUCUUGGGGACCAGAUUGGGAUCCAGGAGGACCGCUCUUGGAUGUUUCAUCCCCAAUUUCAACUAGUAUGCACACUCCAUCUCCAGAAGAAAGCAUGGAAUGCACGGGCUCAAAAUGGUUACCACCAAAGGGGACUGCCACUGGUAUGGAACAAGAUGAAAAUAAUAUUGGUAUCCACCUCAACCUCGUUCAAGUACACCUUGACAAUGGCUACUUCCGCGACAAAUACCACGAAAAAUCUGACAUGAUCAAGGAUCUUCAAGCACCCUGGGACCCUGGUGAGCCCUGCGUGAAAGCGGCUUGGGGUCAAGCCGAAUCUCAAGGGGUAGGGGAUGUCAGCGACCCAAUUACGGCCACAGCAGCCCAUGGGCCGGGCCUGGUUGAGUGCCACAUGAAGGGAGGCCUGACUACAAGUAUCCACGUAGGAAGCAGCGAAGAGGCAUCUGGGCUUGAAUCAGGCAAAGGCAACGGCGGCUCUCUCCUUACCCUUAUCUUCUCCUACCUGAUGUUCUUCCUCCUCCCUCCUUCCCCAAAUCCAUGUAUCUGAACUCGAAUCAUCUGUAAUGGAGUAAUUCGCGUGCGGAACCUAACACACAUUCUUUUGUAUCGUUGCACGUCAUUCAGGGAUACUUCUUCGAAGGAUUGUGGCCAAUAUUCUUGUAAGAUGAAGUUGCAACGCAAUGGAGCACACAUUCUUGUGGAUCGUUGCACGUCAUUCAGGGAUACUUCUUCGAAGGAUUGUUUACUGGAACUCAUGGUGGUGUCGUUUGCUUCCUCUUUGCUUUAGCUGUAUAUAAAUAAUUAGAUAUUGAUCUAUAUACAUGGAUGUAUUUUGUAUGUAAGCUGACUAUUCAUGUGUGAGUUUACAAAACUGUGUGCCAAAUUGGAAGAAAGUUAUCUCUUUCAUUCAAGUCAGUUCGGGCAGAGUAUAAACCUUGUAGCAUUUUUGCUUAGCAAUGCUAUCCACAAAGAAACAGAAUGAAAAGACGACUAAUAUCCCAGAAUCAAGAAGAACGUGCAUGUGCUCCGUUGGGGGUUGCUGAACCUUAUGCCAACCAGGCGCCACAGAAGACAUGGCAGAACACCCAUCCAACAGAACGGUGAAGGAACGGAUGAGACAUAUAGCAAAUCCGCAGGCGAACCGCAUAUCCAAAUAUUCAGAUCUUUAACCUGUAUCAAAAUAAGAAAUUUGAAUGAAAUAUUCUGUCUAAAACAUAUUUUAAGAUAGCCCAUUCAUCAAGCAGUUAGGCAUGUGUAUUAAAAUGAAUCGAGCAAAAUUAGCAUUGUUUUGUAUCACUCAUUAUGUAUAAAGGUUUUUUCCUUGCAUGAAGCAUAAUAUUUACUGUAGUCAAGCAUGCCUAAAGGAUGAAAAAACUUAAACCUAUUGGAUGUCAGACCGAAGACAUGCGCUUCCAGCCACUCAUUCCUCUGCCAACGUCGUUAAAUUUCUACAAAAACAAAGUUCCCAGCUAAACCAGUUAAGGAUGACAAUUUUCAUUUUUUCGGCGCAUUACUAACGAAUUCAUCAUAUAUACACUUCGCUAGAAAAGAGACAUAUGUAAGAGACAAAGGCGCAUUACUAUAUUUUAUAUAAAGCAUUACUAAGGAUGUAGAACAAGCUAUUCUACACUCACACUUGCUUUAGCAUUAUUAUAUUGUAAUUGUUUCACAGAAAUAGUCAUAGUAUAUCCAUCGUUGCUUGCCUCUUGCUUGAAUACCGUAGUGUAUAUUUGCCUACGAUCUAUAUGCAAUAUCUGUAGUACGCCUAGGAUAAAAAUUGAUGUUGAUAUGCAACAUUUUCCUCAGAAUUAAAUAAUCACAAAGUGAUCAACCAUUUUGAUACUGAAAUUAUUGUUAUUAAGGCCCUGUUUGGUUCAUAAGUCCUAAGACUUUUUCUAGUCUCAACUAAAAAGCCCUAGUCCCUAAAAAGUCCCUCCCUGUUUGUUUUCAGGGACUAAAAAGUCCCUAGUCCCUCCCUAGAGAUUAUUAAAUGACCAUGUUACCCCUAGUAUACAGAAAAAUAACAACCAAACAACACCAUGGGGCAGCGUGCCAAUGGGUGCAUGAAGGGGCAUUGUUGGAAAAGUCCCAAAAAGUCCCAAAAACACUCUCCUUGAGAGUCUUUUUCAUUUAGUCCCAAAAAGCAACUUUUAGUCCCUAAUAGUCCCUCCUGUUUGGUUAAAAAGUCUCCAAGAGGGACUUUUUCUAGUCCCUACACCAAAAAGUCCCUGGAAACAAACACCCCCUAAGAUCUGAACAAAUAGCAUGCUGAUAUACCUAUGUAUGCGGCAACUUGAUAUGGGGAGUGCAUCUAACCUUAGCAUAUGACCAAGGGGUGAAUAGUAAUGCACACAAUGCUCAAGAAGUUCAGAAAUUCAAGUAUUAAAUAUCAGCGGCAUGCCCACUUUCAGAACAAACUUAUCUUAGCUGGCAUGCCUCCGAUCUUCUUAUGUACUUACAGUGCAAUCCUUGUAAAUAAUAGAUGGAAGAGAUAGCUAAUAAUAGACAAACGAGGACUCCUUGGCCAAGGCUAUGCGGCGCAAAGCAGCGCAGAACCUCGACAACCAAGGUAUUACGUCAUCACCCAAAUCUUAUUUAGCCUUUUUCAAUACAACCAUCGUUUCUAAGUUGAAUAAUAUGGGUGUUAGUCUCGGAAAGAAUGAGAAGGAUAUUUCUAGUUCGACUAAUGUUUUGAAACAUUUGGAAUAUGACCAUUUAAAAGUUACUCCACGUGUUUCUAGCAAGUCUUAUGCCUCCUUACUAAUGAGGAGGAGCUGCAUGCCACAUCAGAAGGUCAGCUACUCUCUCAUUUAGUAGGAGCGGUUUCGGACGUGGGCCUAGAUCAACACGGGCUUAGCUCAUUGAUUGAGCUUGCAACAUCUGGACGUAAAUCAGAGACCGCACAUUCAAAAAAAGAUAAUAAGUCCCAUAAGAGGGCGAAAUGUUCUAAAUCUCCUAUUGUUUCCUCAUGAAUGGAAUGUUUUUUAAUAGAAGAGGUCUUGGUGACUUGGCUAAACAUUUAUUCAUUGCGGAAUGUAAUAGGGAAUACAAUUUAUAUUUUCUGGCUAUCUCUGAAACGGGGAGACGGUAAGUCUGCUUAAUCGUCUUUCUGGCGGGAUAGACUUCACUUGGGUUUCACGACCGCCUAGAGGUUCUUCUGGGGGCAUUUUACUUGGUGUAAAUGCAAGGACUAUGGAUGUUUUGUCUAGUUCGGAUGGUGAGUUUCAUGUUAAGCUAUAUAUUCGCAACAAAGCCGACAACUUCACAUGGACCCUCGUCGCCGUGUAUGGGGCAGACCAGGACGAGUUCAAGGCUGAUCUUCUCCGUGAAUUGGUUAAUCUGGCGAAAGAUAAUCCCUACCCCAUUCUUAUAGGUGGGGAUUUCAAUUUUCUUAGAUUUCCAAAUGAGAAAAGCCCCGGUAGGUUUGAUAAUCAUUGGCCUUUCCUUUUCAAUGUUGUCAUCGACAGUCUAGAUUUGCGAGAGGUUUCCAUGAUUGGAAGACAAUUCACUUGCGCGAACAGUCUUACGAAACCAACAUAUGAGAAACUAGAUCACGUUUUAAUGGAUACCGACUAGGAAUCUAAAAUUCCUAUGGUGUCUGUUCAUGCUCUACCUCGUAUUGAGGCUAUAUCAGACCACACACCCAUUCUCCUAACUACUGGUUUGCCACGACCACAACAUAGACACAAGUUCAAAAUCAAACUUGGCUAGUUUCUUCGAGAUGGUUUCCAUGACAUGGUCAAGGAGGUGUGGGAGAAACCGGUGGACGGGCAUACCCCAAUUCACAAAUGGAAUAACAAAAUGCAUGCAUUAUGCAAAUUCCUUGGUGGUUGGGCUAGGCAUACAGUGGGUAUCCUAAAAAAGGAGAAGCUUCGUCUUUCAUCUAUCAUUGAUGAAUUAGAAGCUUUGGCGGAGGUCAGACCUCUAUCUGAGCAUGAAAUCGAGAUCAAGAGUCAUUCGAAUGUACAGAUAGCUAGCAUGCUGCGCGCGGAGGAACUCAAAUGGUACCAACAUAGUAGCUCUCAAUUUAUCCUGAAAGGUUAUUGGAAUACUAGAUAUUUCCAUGGAGCCGCCAAUGGCAGACACCGGAAGAAAAUUAUUCAUUUCCUACAACAGGAUGAUGGCAUGAUUGAGGGGCAUGAGCAACUUAAAUCUUAUAUCACUAUUUUUUAUAAAAAAUUGUUCGGAGCCCUAGGAGAAGGAAACUUCUCAAUGGAUGAGUCCCGAACAGAUCACAUCCCUCAGGUCUCUGAUGUGGAAAAUAGCCUUCUAACAGCCCCAUACUUUGAGGAGGAAGUUAGAAAGGCAGUUUUCCUAAUGGAGCACAACAAAGCCCCGGGUUCGGAUGGUUUUCCCGCUGAGUUCUAUCAGAACUUCUGGGAAGUCAUCAAGCCGGAUCUCCUACUUUUGUUUAGCGACCUACAUGUUGGCCAUCUAGAAUUGUUUCGUUUAAACUUCGAUGAGAUUAUUUUAUUACCUAAGGUUAAUGAGGCUGAAAGGAUAAAACAAUAUAGACCUAUUUGCCUCCUUAGUGUUAGUUUUAAAAUAUUCACGAAGGCUGCGACUAUUAGGCUAAAUUCGGUUGCUGAACACGUGGUUCGUCCUUCACAGGCUGAUUUUAUGCAAGGAAGAAACAUCCUAGAUGGAGUUGUUAUCCUUCAUGAGACAGUCCAUGAAUUACAUCAGAAAAAGUUGAAUGGGGUGGUACUCAAAAUAGACUUUGAAAAACCUUAUGACAAGGUCAAAUGGUCAUUUCUUCAACAGACUCUCAGAAUGAAAGGAUUUUCUGCAGAGUGGCGUGCUAUGAUCCAUAGCUUCGUUUCUAGAGGUAGUGUUGCCAUUAAGAUCAAUGAUGGCGUUGGACAAUAUUUUCAAACGAAGAAGGGAUUGCGACAAGGUGACUCAAUAUCGCCCAUGCUAUUCAAUAUAGUGGCGGAUAUGCUAGUGGUCGUGAUUGAGCGUGCCAAGGUUGAUGGCCAAAUUGAUGGGGUAGUAAGUCAUCUACUUGAUGGUGGUCUCUCUAUACUUCAAUAUGCCGACAAUACAAUUCUCUUCAUGGAUCAUGACCUUGAGAAAGCGAGAAAUCUGAAAUUAAUUUUAUCAGCAUUCGAGCAACUCUCAGGUCUGAUGAUCAACUUUCAUAAAAGUGAAUUGUUUUGUUUUGGGGAGGCUUGAGAACAGGCCCACCUGUACACUGAACUGUUCGGAUGUGGGUUGGGCCACUUUUCGAUCACAUAUUUGGGGAUACUGGUACAUUAUCGGAGACUCACAAAUGCUGAAUGGAAACACGUCGAGGAGAGAUUACAAAAAAGACUUAGCAGUUAGAAAGGUAAACUAGUGUCUCUGGGUGGAAGAUUGGUUCUCAUAAACUAAGUACAAAGUAACAUGGUACUAUAUAUGAUUUCCUUCUUCCAGUUGCCGAAAGGAGUUUUACAUAGAUUAGGAUAUUUCCGAUGAAGAUUCUUUUGGCAAGGAGAUAGCGAGCAAAAGAAAUAUCGACUGGCUAAAUGGAGUGUGGUUUGCCAUCCCAAAGACCAAGGCGGGUUGGGCAUUUAUGACCUUGAGGUUAAGAAUAGGGCCCUCCUCGGCAAAUGGUUGUUUAAAUGACUGACGGAAGAUGGUGUAUAGCAAAUCCUCCCGAGGAGGAAAUAUGUGGGCUCCAAGGCUGUAUCCCAAGUAUAUUGGAAGCCCGGGGAUUCUCAUUUUUGGGCGGGUCUAAUGGCUAUGAAGAAAUAUUUAUUCUCCUAUGGAUCCUUCUCGAUUAAGGAUGGCUCGAACAUUAGAUUCUAGGAGGACAAGUGGCUAGGAAAUGCCACACUCCGGGAACAAUAUCCGGCUCUAUACAACAUUGUGUGUCACAAGGGUGAUACUAUUGGCACGGUAAUUGAAUCAUUUCCGCCAAAUGUGACGUUCAGAAGAGAUUUAGUUAGACCUAGACUCCAAUCGUGGUACAUCCUGCUCCAACGGUUGUCCAUGGUGCAAUUGUCACAUGGGUCUGAUGUAUUUCAAUGGAACCUACAAGGGAAUGGACAAUUCUCAGUGGAGUCUAUGUAUAGAGCGCUAAUCCAGUCUGAUGUGCCAGUUGAUAACAACAAGAAGACUGGAAGAUGAAGAUACCUCUUGAAAGGAUCAAUAUAGUUGACUAGAGGGGGGGGGGUGAAUAGGCAACUAACAAUUUUUAGCUUUUCUUUACCAAAUUAAACUUAGCAUCAAAAUAGGUUGUCUAGAUAUGAAACUAGGUGAGCAACCUAUAUGAUGCAACAACAACAAGCACACAAGCAAGCAAGGUAUACAACACAAUAUAAGCUUGCACAAGUGAAGGUAAGAGAUAACCAAAAGUGGAGCCGGUGGAGAUGAGGAUGUCUUACCGAAGUUCCUUCCCUUUGAGAGGAAGUACGUCUCCGUUGGAGCGGUGUGGAUGCACAAUGCUCCCCAAGAAGCCACUAGGGCCACUGUAUUCUCCUCACGCCCUCACAUGAUGCGAGAUGCCGUGAUGCCACUAUUGGUGCCCUUGGAGGCGGCGACCAAACCUUUACAAACAAGGUUGGGGCAAUCUCCACAACUUAAUCAGAGGCUCCCAACGACACCACGAAGCUCCACCACAAUGGAAUAUGGCUUCGCGGUGACCUCAACCGUCUAGGGUGCUCAAACACCCAAGAGUAACAAGAUCCGCAAGGGAUUAGUGGGGGGAAUCAAAUUUUUCUUGGUGGAAGUGUAGAUCAGGGUCUUCUCAACCAAUCCCUAGAAAAUCCACAAGUUUGAUUGGCUAGGGAGAGGGAUCGGGCGAAAAUGGAGCUUUGAGAAACAAUAGAGCUUGGGGAGGGAAGAGGUAGUUCUCUUUGGAGAAGAAGACCUCUUUUAUAGGGGGGAACUUAUCCAACCGUUACCCCCCCCCUUUCAGCCCGCACGGAGCGGUACUGCCGCUCAAUGGAGCGGUACUACUGCUAGUGGCAGUGGUACCACCGCGACCCCCAGCGGUACUACCGCGGAGACUGGGAGCAGAGGCAACAGAAGAGGGAGAGAGGGUUGGGGCAGCACUAGAAGCGGUGGUAGCCACCUCCCACGAGCGGUACUACCACUGCUACUACCGCUACUACUUCUGCACAACCCGACACGAGAGAGACACCCUCGAAUCGAGGCGGUAGCGGUGCCAAACCAGGACAGUACUGCUACCGAUGUACCUGAGCGGUACUACCACUGUUGGACACUGGUACUGCCGCUUGAGGAACAUAGGCGGCACUACCACUAGGGCGGCGGUACUACCGCUUGCACCUCACAAUCCCUACUUCAGUUGAAACAGAAAACUCCAAGGAGAGGAAAUGAGCUGGGGGUGCAAAAAGGAAGUGUACGUGUUGAUUCCACCCUAGCCUUUUCAAUGCGGACCCCCUCUUGAUAGUACUGUGUCUCCUACAACUCAAGUCAACCAAAACCGAAACGAAGGAGACUACACCGUCUUCACUUGAAACUCCGAGGGGAAAGAAUCGUCUCGUGCCAAUGAAUGAAUCUCUGAAAUACUCAACGCACAUGAUUAGACCGCAAAAGCAUUGUCAUCAAUCACCAAAACUACUUAGAGAGAGACAUGCCCUAACAAUCUCCCCCUUUUUGGUGGAUUGAUGACAACACGGGAUUUGCACAAAGGAAUGAGAUGAUAAUAAGUGAAUCCCAGAGACUACAAAAUAUAGACGGGCUUCCCCUAAAUGUGUGCACUUAAUUGGAGGUGCCUUUGGAAUGCAAAGUACACACAUUAGGAUCAACACCCCCCCUAUAUUUUAUAGUCAAACAACAUUUGCAUCAAAGAUGAGACAUAUAUAGCUAGGAUGCAAUAGAGUAGCAAGUGAGCAUAGUAGACAUAUGAGAUAAGCAUGAACUCACAAACUACUAAAGUACACGACAUACAAAGAUAAUAAUAGGAUAGGGUAGCAUAUGUCUCAUACCAUAUGAUAGGGUACUGGGUCUCACGAACACAAACCAAAUCAAAGCAAACGACGAGAAAAGAGUUUGCGAGAGAGAGAGAAAGACAAGGCAAAUAAGACACACUCGCAACUCGCAACACGACAAAUCCCUAAACUCUCCCCCCUUUGGCAUCGACACACCAAAAGGGAAAAGAAUGCUGCUACAGCCACAUGUGAUAGCACAACUGACAACCUCCAUCAUCACAUACCCGCGUGAUCGUCCGCUCCUCCGUCAUCGGCAGGGGGCUGCUUGAUGUCUGAGUGUGUCCACGUGCAAUGCUGCUUAACCCACUCCUCCUCAUCGGUGAUCUUGCCCUCAGAUCCGCUGGCAACUGUUGCACCUAACUAACGCAUGAGCUCCUUGUGACGGCUCCUGGCCUUCUUCUCAGACACAUGAGCCAUAUACUAACCAUGCAGAAAAGUUUCCUCAUCUUGCGCUUGAGCUUCUUUGCCCAUGAGGGCUCCGCUCCAGAGGGCUCAUAGUCCUCCUCCUCCUCCUCAUCAGCCUCUGUCUCAACCUCGUUAGCUUCAUACAGAAUCCCAAACUUUGGAACUGAAGUGCCCUAGUUCUCCUUCCUCAGACGGUUAAUCUCAUGAGGGAUCAACUCGCUAGUGUCCAACGCGACACCAGGAUAAGUGUGCUCCCAAGAUUUCUCAAUAAGCAACAUGAGAAAAGGAUCAUAGAUGGGGCACUUUCGCUCAGAGAUAGCCGUGACAAGCUCAGACCACAUGACAUGAGAGACAUCCAAGGAUUCUCCAAUGUUUUCUUCCUUCUCAUGCUGACAGAAAAGUAACAUGUCCACGAGAAGUGAGUGAACCAUAUCCAAGUUCCCAAUGCGAGGGAAAAGAGUCUCCCUAAAGAUGCAAUGAAGGAUGUCCAGAAAGGCAGGCAGCUCAUAGGUCUCCUUCUGCGUCUCAGGGUUAAUCUUCAACAUGCAGUAGGGCCAGAGAGAUUGCUUGUGAGUAGAAGUUGCAUUGCGGCGAGGACGAAAGCCAACCGGGUUCUCAGGCCCUUUAUCUUCAAUCCCAAGUAACUCCAUGAAUGCCUUCCAUUUGAUAGAGAGAAGCUUGCCAUUUGUCAUCCAAGUCAUAGUUCUUUCCUCAUUUGUCCCAAGAUGGACGAUGGCAUAAAACCGAGCCACCAAAUCCGCAUCAAAGUCCUUGUUGAACUCCAUGAUCCUUAGAAUAUUCAACUGAGAACACAUCUGCAGAGAUUCGCCAAAGUAGGCAGGAUCCUUCUCCAUAUAGGCAAUGUCAAUGGAACAGACAUCAACAUAGAGAUUGUUCUUCGCUUUGAUCACAUCAAAAAAGAUUUCCCACUAAAAACGGUUCCAGAAAGGACGGUUGACAAUAUUGGUCUCUUGAUCUUGCUCAUAGGGAUUGCGCCGACGCUUCUCCCAGAACUCCUUGGCGGUCAUCUCAGUCACGGACUUGGGCUUCGGCUUGGGCUUCUUCACAGUACUCUUAGAAGGCUGCUGGGACUGAGUUGGCGGAACACUUGAAGAAGGAACACUCGAAGAAGCAGCUGCUGUCUAAGAGGUGCGAUAGCGCUUAGAAACUGAACGCUCGGGGUUGACACGUCGUACAAGACGCUCCGAAGGGCCAUCACCUGGAACCAAACACACGAACACGAGAAACAACACGAAAGAACGAGCAUAAGCCACCAACAGAAGCAACAUGGAUCAAUAGUUGGUACGGGUAUGGUAGAAGUUGACAUCCAGCGGUAGUACCGUGAUCAGGAGGCGGUAGUACCGUAUGAGUGGCAGUACCGCUCCAGGAGAGUGGUAGUACCGCUUCAGGCGGGGGACGAUGGUUCCCCUGCUGCCGCGGCCAAAUCCGGUACUACCAGGAUGCCACAUUCAAACAUAAGCCUACCAAACAUCAAUCAAAGCAGUCUAAUAGCUUUCACCAUCCUUCUCAAGCCUCGGUUUGGCCAAAACUCGAUGAAUGUAAAGCCUAUUGCCCCUAAAGUCUAGAUUUGAAAUCUAGAAGCAAAGAGAAAGGGAUCAGGGGCAAUACCAGCAUCCAUGGCAAGAUGAGAGGGUGGAGAUCGACUCCAUCGGAGGAAAUGAUGAAAAAUGGCGCGGAAAAAGCGGCCCGACAGCGACCUCCGGCGACGCGCUCAUCCUGGGAGCACGAACAGGACGAGUGGGUUGGGUCGAAUGGGUAUGGGGGAGAAGAGACUCCCCCUGCCCGACAUAACCCCCAAGUCCCGCCUCGCAUCGGUAGUACCGCUCUGGUGGGCGGUAGUGCUGCUUGAGACCAGUAGGCGGUAGUACCGCCCGACCAACGGUAGUGCUGCCCAAGCCAUGCCUCUACUAGACUCACAAACAAGGGGACAGCCAAGCCCGAAGAAAAACCACCAGAAAAGCCGAGAGGCAACAAGAAGAGCUAAACACAACCAAAAAGGCAGAAAAGCACCCACGGAGAGACCCAAACUACACUACAAACACAAAACAAAACAAAAGAUCACACAACUCUCAAGGAGAGGGCGGUGGCUGAAGCCACCUAUGUUUGAGUCAAUUGGUAUGGCACCGCGAAGAAAUAUCCUUGGGCCCAUGACCAAAACUCGUCUUUGAAGCACAAGUACCACAAAAAAUGGCGAAUGUGAAAGAGUUGAUCAAUUUAUGCGUAAUGGGGGAGGGAGAGUUCAUUGAGAGAACAACACUCCCCCUAUGUCUAUGCCUACAUCUAGACACGAUAUACUGAUGAGUGCGGUGGGGUGUGCCUAGAUUCAAGCCACAUUGCUCGAAUCAAUGAUAUUUAGCUCAUGCCUUAACUCGUGAAAUCUUGCUUCAUCCAAAGGCUUCGUGAAAAUAUAUGCAAGGUUACCAUGAGUGUUGACAUAGUUGAGCUCAGUCUCCCCUCGCCUAAUGCGAUCCCGGAUGAAAUGAUACUGAAUCUCAAUAUGCUUCGCCUUGAGGUGUUGCAUCAAGUUGAUAGAAAUCUUGAUGGCACUUUCAUUGUCACACCAAAGAGGCACUUUGUCACAAAUGACACCGUAAUCCUUUAAAGUUUGCCUCAUCCAUAGAAGUUGAGCACAACAACUACCGGCAGCCACAUACUCGGCCUCAGUGGAGGAGAGAGACACACAACUUUGCUUCUUCGAAGACCAACUCACCAAAGAGCAAUCAAGAAAUUGGCACCCUCCGGAAGUUGACUUCCUAUCCACUUUGUCUCGCGCCCAAUCCGAGUCCGAAAAGCCCACAAGGUUGAAGUUUGCUCCUCUUGGGUACCAUAAGCCAAAGUUUGGGGUAUGAGCCAAAUACCGAAAGAUUUGCUUGACCGCCACAUAGUGGCUUUCCUUAGGUGCGGCUUGAAACCGUGCACAAAUUCCCACACUCAGCAUGAUAUCCGGUCUGGAUGCACAAAGGUAAAUCAAGGAGCCAAUCAUAGAAUGAUAUACCUUUUGAUCCACCGCUUUACCAUUGGGAUCUAUGUCAAGUUGGCAUUUGACAGGCAUUGGAGUGGAAGCCGGCUUGACAUCACUUAGCUUGAAUCUCUUGAGCAUGUCUUGAGUGUAUUUGGCUUGGUUGAUGAAGGUACCUUCUCUUCUUUGUUUGAUUUUGAACCCGAGGAAGAACUUCAACUCUCCCAUCAUGGACAUCUUGAACUUUGAGGUCAUGAGAGCGGUAAACUCCUCAUUGAAAGCUAUAUUAGGAGAACUGAUAUUCACCGAACCUCGAUGGAGAGAUCCGAUCUGUUAUUGCGGCCCGAUCUUUCACGGUACUCCACCUUCAGAGUAGUAAUCUCUCGCCCGCGCACACGAUGUACACGAAGUAGAGGGUUUGAACCUUGCGGCUCAGCACGAGAGAAACAAUCUGGACGACAGCACCUCACGCACAAAACAAUUUCCUCACAGAAGUCGCAACAAAGAGGUUUUCUAAAGCUACCUCAAAAACUUGAUACGGGUGUCUACCCCUAAAAACACAUCUGUCUAUUUCAUAUCAAAAUAUAACCUGCAUUACAUGGGACGCAUAACUUGGCUUUAUAGUAGUAGCCGGCCUAGAAACAAAGUUAAACUCAGGUGGACUCUUACUUUUAUCCUAACUAACAAAGAAUUAACUAAUUAAAUAUUCGCCAACCUGAUAACAAACUAGACUCCUUAUUUUGGUCGUGGCGUCUCUUUCUUGUGCAAUAUGCGUGUAGGUGGACCCCACCCAACAGCCUUUAAACACAACAGAUCCCAUACAGAACACGUGUAAGACUGAUCCUUCUCUUUCCUUGGUAAAAAUAGAAAGAUAGAUAACAUCUUGAUCUCCUUCCGUUCAAACCAAUUCUCCUUCCUUUCAUCCCAAAAAAUAUGUGCGUGCAUUCCUUUGAAACAAAAAGAAUGCUUGACUGAUCUCCAUGCUGCAUUAGCACAUAAAUGAGGAGUAUUAUUUUUCCAUACCGCAUGUGAGGCCACGUCCUCAUGCUGAUUUGCAUCUAGCAAGUCUCUUCCAGAAUUUGCAUGCGCCACGUCCUUUUCUUUUCUUUCUUUCAUCCCAACAAGAUCUCUGCCGAUGCAAUAAUUAGCAUACCUAUUAGUUAUGACCAUAUCAUCCUCUCCCCCUUGAAGCAAAACUGUCCUCGGUUUCGGUUCGUUCUCUUCUGUAGUACUUUUAUUUACAGACGGAACAAUGUCCAUAAAAAUUUCAGCGGCUUCAACCUUCUUUGUGUUCACUUCUGAUGCAGCUUGAGCAAUAUCUCGCUUUCGACGAUCAGCCAUAUAGUUCUCUGAUGUGUACGACUCAAGUGGUACGUACUGUCCGCCAUGAACAAAAGAAAAUUCACCAACCGAAUGAUAUGUCAACUGCCUUUUAUCUGUCCAUGGUUUUCCUAGCAGUAUCGAACAUGUAUGCAUGUGCACAUGAAGCACAUCACACAUGACCCGAUCACGAUAUCCGCAUAGAGUAAACCGUACCUCGAUUCGAUGCAUGAUAUUGACAAACCUGUCCUUCCACCAAAGCUUGUAAGGUUCUGGAUGUUCAAUCAAUAACAGGUUCAAAGCAUCAACCAUAGUAUUACUUACUAAAUUCAUACUCGAAUAACAAUUCAUCAAAGUUGCACAACUCGCCGGCCCGACACGCACGCGCGUAAAGCAUUGGUACCACGGCAAGGCACGCAAUGGAUCAUUUUCCACCGACAUCAUCAUUUGCGAGCUACAAUCUUUCCUCAUGAUAAAAAAUUCAAUAGAACUCGAAGAAAAAUAUUGUACCGUGAACAAUCUUUGCUCUGAAUACCAACUGAUAUUCACCGAACCUCGAUGGCGAGAUCCGAUCUGUUAUUGUGGCCCGAUUUUCACGGUACUCCACCUUCAGAGCAGUAAUCUCUCGCCCGCGCACGCAAUGUACAUGAAGUAGAGGGUUUGAACCUUGCGGCUCAGCACGAGAGAAACAAUCUGGACGACAGCACCUCACGCGCAAAACAAUUUCCUCACAGAAAUCGCAACAAAGAGGUUUUCUAAAGCUACCUCAAAAACUUGAUACGGAUGUCUACCCCUAAAAACACAUCUGUCUAUUUCAUAUCAAAAUAUAACCUGCAUUACAUGGGACGCAUAACUUGGCUUUAUAGUAGUAGCCGGCCUAGAAACAAAGCUAAACUCAGGUGGACUCUUACUUUUAUCCUAACUAACAAAGAAUUAACUAAUUAAAUAUUCGCCAACCUGAUAACAAACUAGACUCCUUAUUUUGGUCGUGGCGUCUCUUUCUCGUGAAAUAUGCGUGUAGGUGGACCCCACCCAACAGCCUUUAAACACAACAGAUCCCAUACAGAACACGUGUAAGACUGAUCCUUCUCUUUCCUUGGUAAAAAUAGAAAGAUAGAUGACAUCUUGAUCUCCUUCCGUUCAAACCAAUUCUCCUUCCUUUCAUCCCAAAAAAUAUGUGCGUGCAUUCCUUUGAAACAAAAAGAAUGCUUGACUGAUCUCCAUGCUGCAUUAGCACAUAAAUGAGGAGUAUUAUUUUUCCAUACUGCAUGUGAGGCCACGUCCUCAUGCUGAUUUGCAUCUAGCAAGUCUCUUCCAGAAUUUGCAUGCGCCACGUCCUUUUCUUUUCUUUCUUUCAUCCCAACAAGAUCUCUGCCGAUGCAAUAAUUAGCAUACCUAUUAGUUAUGACCAUAUCAAGAACCAAAGAUAAUAUCAUCAACAUAUAGUUGGCAUACAAACAACUCUCCUUUGACCUUCUUAGUAAAAAGACUGGGGUCGAUUUUCCCAAUUUUAAACCCACGAUCUUGCAACAACCCGGUAAGGUGCUCAUACCACACACGUGGGGCUUGUUUAAGGCCAUAGAGUGCCUUAUCGAGUUGGUACACAUGUUUGGGGAACUCGGGAUCCUCAAACCCCGGGGGUUGUUUGACAUACACCAACUCAUUAAUAGGACCAUGAAGAAAAGCACUCUUCACAUCCAUUUGUUGCAACUUGAAGUUAUGAUGAGAAGCAUAAGCAAUCAACAAACGAAUGGAUUCAAGGCAAGCAACGGGAGCAAAGGUUUCACCGUAGUCGAUACUCUCGACUUGGGAGUAGCCUUGUUGCGAACGAUAAUAGCAUGAGCAUCUUGCUUGUUCUUGAAUAUCCACUUGGUUCCAGUAACAUUAUGGUUCUCCUUUGGCCUUGGCACCAAUCUCCACACCUUGUUGUGCUCGAAGUUGUUGAGUUCUUCAUGCAUGGCAUUAAGCCAAUCCGGAUCUUUGAGCGCCUCAUAGACCUUUUGGGGUUCAACACAAGAAAUAAACACGUGAUGUUCACAAUAAUUUGCUAAUUGUCUACGAGUGCUUACCCCCUUUCUUAAGCUUCCAAUCACAUUCUUCAUGAGAUGAUCUUUGGUAGUGAGCUUGGACGCAAUCUUGGCAGAACGACGCUCCAAUUCCUCCUCAAGAGAGAGUUGAGGAGCGGUAACUUGAUCAUCUUGAGCGGCGUCUUGAGCUUGUUCUUGAUCUUGAGCUUGCUCUUGAUCUUGAACUUGCUCAGUGGUAAGAACUUGACCUUGGGCAUCACUUGGUGGAUCACCCACCAUCUUGAGGUUGAUCUUGCCCUUGAUCUUGUUCAUUUGGUUGAGGGACUUCACUUUGUUCUUCGAAAGCAUGUGGGUCUUGGGUUGGUGAAGGUUCCACUUGAGUGGAACAUUGUCCUUCUCCUUCGGCCACAAGGGGUUCCUUAAUGGGUAGGAUAUGACCAACACCCAUUCUUCUUAUGGAUUGGAGAGGAAUUUCAUCACCUACAUCACAAGUACCACUUUGCUCCACUUGGGAGCCAUUAUUCUCAUCAAACUCCAUGUUACACAUCUCCUCAAUGAGUCCCGUGGACUUGUUGAGGACGCGAUAAGCAUGAGAGUUUGUAGCAUAACCAACAAAUAUGCCCUCAUGAGCUCUAGCCUCAAAUUUAGACAAACAAACACGUUUCUUGAGAAUGAAACACUUACAACCGAACACCCGGAAGUACUUGAGGUUGGGCUUGUUGCCGGUGAGUAUCUCAUAUGGAGUCUUGUUCAAGCCUUUGCGGAGAUAGAGUCGAUUGGAUGCAUGACAAGUGGUGUUGAUGGCUUCGGACCAAAAGUUGUACAUAGACUUGAACUCCGCCAUCAUGGUCCUUGAUGCAUCCACCAACGUCCGGUUCUUCCUCUCCGCUUGAUCCUCUCAUCACUAAGAAACUCAUCCAAGGUGUAGUUCUUGAACUCGGUGCGGAAUAUUGAUGCUUGAUCCUCUCAUCACUAAGAAACUCAUCCAAGGUGUAGUUCUUGAACUCGGUGCCGUUUUCACUUCUUAUUGUCAAGAUCUUUGCAUUGUGUUGAUGUUGGGCUUCAUUUGCAAAGUCGAUGAUGGUUUGUUGGGUGAUGUCGCUUGAAGCUACGUCGGUAUUUCCCCAAAGAGGAAGGGAUGAUGCAGCACAUCGGCGGUAGGUAUUUCACACAGAUAUGAAACCAAGGUUAUCGAACCAGUAGGAGAACCAAGCAACACAAUGGAAACAACACCUGCACACAGAUAACAAAUCCUUGCAACCCAACGUGUUAAAGGGGUUGUCAAUCCCUUUCGGGGUAUGGCGCCUCAAGAUAGGCAAACAGACGUGAGAUAAAUUUGUAGUAUAUUGAUAGAUCGAACGCCAAAUAAAAUAAAUAGGAAUAAAUUGUAGAAAAGUAUUUUUAGGUUUUUGGUUUAGUAGAUCUGAAAAUAAAAGCAAAUAAAAUAGAUCGCAAAGGCAAAUAUAUGAGAAAGAAGACCCGGGGGCCGUAGGUUUCACUAGUGGCUUCUCUCGAGAAAAAUAGCAAACGGUGGGUAAACAAAUUACUCUUGGGCAAUUGAUAAAACAUCAAACAAUUAUGAUGAUAUCCAGGCAAUGAUCAUUUUAUAGGCAUCACAUCCAAGAUUAGUAGACCGACUCCUGCCUGCAUCUACUACUACUACUCCACACAUCGACCGCUAUCCAGCAUGCAUCUAGUGUAUUAAGUUCAUGGAGAAACGAAGUAAUGCAAUAAGAAUGAUGACAUGAUGUAGACAAGAUCUAUCUAUGUAGAGAUAGACCCCAUCGUUUUAUCCUUUGUAGCAACGAUACAUACGUGUCGUUUCCCUUUCUGUCACAAGGAUCAAGCACCGUAAGAUCGAACCCACUACAAAGCACCUCUUCCCAUUGCAAGAUAAAUAUAUCAAGUUGUUGGGGAACGUAGUAUUUCAAAAAAUAUGCCUACAAUCAAGCAAGAUCUAUCUAGGAGAAGCAUAGCAACGAGUGGGGAGAGUGUGUCCAUGUACCCUCGUAGACCGAAAGCGGAAGCAUUAAGUAACGCGGUGGAUGUAGUCGAACAUCUUCGUGAUCCAACCGAUCAAGUACCGAAUGCACGGCACCUCCGCGAUCUGCACACGUUCAGCUCGGUGACGUCCCUCAAACUCUAGAUCCAGCUGAGGCCGAGGGAGAGUUUCGUCAGCACGACGGCAUGUUGGCGGUGAUGAUGAAGUUGCCGACGCAGGGCUUCGCCUAAGCACUACGACAAUAUGACCGAGGUGGAAAUCUGUGGAGGGGGGCACCGCACACGACUAAGAGAUCAACUUGUGUGUCUAUGGGGUUCCCCCUCCCUGUAUGUAAAGGAGUGUAGGAGGGGGCCGGCCGGCCUCAUAGGGCGUGCCCCCAGGGGGGAAUCCUACUCCUACUAGGAGUAGGUUCCCCCCCUUUCCUAGUCCAACUAGGAGGGGAAGGAAAGGGAAGAGGGGAAGAAGGAAAGGGGGCCCAACCCCCCUCCCCAAUUCGGAUUGGCCUUGGGGGGCGCACCCCUCCUCUUGGCCGCCUCCUCCUCUCUUCCACUAAAGCCCACGAAGGCCCAUUAAACCCCCAGGGGUUCCGGUAACCCCAUGGUACUCCAGAAAAUGCCCGAACUUAUCUGAAACCUUUUCGGUGUCCAAACAUAACCUUCCAAUAUAUCAAUCUUCAUGUCUCGACCAUUUCGAGACUCCUCGUCAUGUCCGUGAUCACAUCCGGGACUCCGAACAACCUUCGGUACAUCAAAUCACAUAACUCACAAUACAUAUCAUCAUCGAACAUUAAGCGUGCGGACCCUACGGGUUCGAGAACUAUGUAGACUUGACCGAGACUUAUCUCCGGUCAAUAACCAAUAGCGGAACCUGGAUGCUCAUAUUGGUUCCUACAUAUUCUACGAAGAUCUUUAUCCGUCAAACCGCAUAACAACAUACGUUGUUCCCUUUGUCAUUGAUAUGUUACUUGCCCGAGAUUCGAUCGUCGGUAUCAUCAUACCUAGUUCAAUCUCGUUACCGCAAAGUCUCUUUACUCGUUCCGUAAUGCAACAUCCCGCAACUAACUCAUUAGUCACAUUGCUUGCAAGGCUUAUAGUGAUGUGCAUUACCGAGAGGGCCCAGAGAUACCUCUCCGACAAUCGGAGUGACAAAUCCUAAUCUCGGUCUAUGUCAAGUCAACAAACACCAUCGGAGACACCUGUAGAGCAUCUUUAUAAUCAUCCAGUUACAUUGUGACGUUUGAUAGCACACAAAGUGUUCCUCCGGUAUUCGGGAGUUACAUAAUCUCAUAGUCAUAGGAACAUGUAUAAGUUAUGAAGAAAGCAAUAGAAAUAAACUAAACGAUCAUAGUGCUAAGCUAACAGAUGUGUCAUGUCAAUCACAUCAUUCUCUAAUGAUGUGAUCCCGUUAAUCAAAUGAAAAGUCAUGUCUAUGUCUAGGAAACUUAACCAUCUUUGAUUAACGAGCUAGUCAAGUAGAGGCAUACUAGUGACACUCUGUUUGUCUAUGUAUUCACACAUGUACUAAGUUUCUGGUUAAUACAAUUCUAGCAUGAAUAAUAAACAUUUAUCAUGAUAUAAGGAAAUAUAAAUAACAACUUUAUUAUUGCUUCUAGGGCAUAUUUCCUUCAGUCUCCCACUUGCACUAGAGUCAAUAAUCUAGAUUACAUUGUAAUGAUUCUAACACCCAUGUAAUAUUGGUGUUGAUCAUGUUUUGCUCGUGAGAGAGGCUUAGUCAAUGGGUCUGCAACAUUCAGAUCCGUAUGUAUCUUGCAAAUCUCUAUUACUCCCUCCUUGACUUGAUCGCGGAUGGAAUUGAAGCGUCUCUUGAUGUGCUUGGUUCUCUUGUGAAAUCUGGAUUCCUUUGCUAAGGCAAUUGCACCAGUAUUGUCACAAAAGAUUUUCAUUGGACCCGAUGCACUAGGUAUGACACCUAGAUCGGAUAUGAACUCCUUCAUCCAGUCUCCUUCAUUUGAUGCUUCCGAAGCAGCUAUGUACUCCGCUUCACACGUAGAUCCCGCCACGACGCUCUUCUUGGAACUUCACCAACUGACAACUCCACCAUUCAAUAUAAAUAUGUCUCCGGUUUGUGACUUAGAGUCAUCCGGAUCAGUGUCAAAGCUUGCAUCGACGUAACCGUUUAUGACGAGCUCUUUGUCACCUCCAUAAACGAGAAACAUAUCCUUAGUCCUUUUCAGGUAUUUCAGGAUAUUCUUGACCGCUGUCCAGUGAUCCACUCCUGGAUUACUUUGGUACCUCCCUGCUAAACUAAUAGCAAGGCACACAUCAGGUCUGGUACACAACAUUGCAUACAUGAUAGAACCUAUGGCCGAAGCAUAGGGAAUGACUUUCAUUUUCUCUCUAUCUUUUGCAGUGGCCGGGCAUUGAGUCUGACUCAACUUCACACCUUGUAACACAGGCAAGAACCCUUUCUUUGCUUGAUCCAUUUUGAACUUCUUCAAAACUUUAUCAAGGUAUGUGCUUUGUGAAAGUCCAAUUAAGCGUCUUGAUCUAUAUCUAUAGAUCUUGAUGCCCAAUAUAUAAGCAGCUUCACCGAGGUCUUUCAUUGAAAAAUUCUUAUUCAAGUAUCCUUUUAUGCUAUUCAGAAAUUCAGUAUCAUUUCCGAUCAACAAUAUGUCAUCCACAUAUAAUAUCAGAAAUGCUACAGAGCUCCCACUCACUUUCUUGUAAAUAUAGGCUUCUCCAAAAGUGUGUAUAAAACCAUAUGCUUUGAUCACACUAUCAAAGCAUAUAUUCUAACUCCGAGAUGCUUGCACUAGUCCAUAAAUGGAUCACUGGAGCUUACACACUUUGUUAGCACCUUUUGGAUCGACAAAACCUUCUAGUUGCAUCAUAUACAACUCUUCUUUAAGAUAUCCAUUAAGGAAUGCAGUUUUGACAUCCAUUUGCCAAAUUUCAUAAUCAUAAAAUGCGGCAAUUGCUAACAUGAUUCGGACGGACUUAAGCAUCGCUACGGGUGAGAAGGUCUCAUCGUAGUCAACUCCUUGAACUUGUCGAAAACAUUUGACAAGUCAAGCUUUGUAGACAGUAACAUUACCGUCAAUGUCAGUCUUCUUCUUGAGGAUCCAUUUAUUAUUUAUCGCUUGCCGAUCAUCGGGCAAGUCAACCAAACUCCACACUUUGUUCUCAUACAUGGAUCCCAUCUCAGAUUUCAUGGCCUCAAGCCAUUUUGCGGAAUCUGGGCUCAUCAUCGCUUCCUCAUAGUUCGUAGGUUUGUCAUGGUCAAGUAACAUGACUUCCAGAACAGGAUUACCAUACCACUCUGGUGCGGACCUUACUAUGCUUGACCUACGAGGUUCGGUAGUUACUUGAUCAGAAGUUUCAUGAUCAUCAUCAUUAGCUUCCUCACUAAUUGGUGUAGGAAUCACUGAAACUAAUUCCUGUGAUGAACUACUUUCCAACUAGUGGAGUGCCCGUGCGUUGCCACGGGCUCUUGAAAUAGUUUACAAUGUAACAUGUUAAAUUCCAUUUUUUGCAAACAAUAUAACACAAACAAAAUUAUUUAAUAACUGAAGGCCAUUUUUGCAAUGUAAAUUGAUAACAGAAAGAAAAAGUAACGACAUGUCCAUGUAACAAACUGAGUGAUGUUCCAACUAAAUAUCUAUUACAAAACUAUUAAUAUCUAGAUGAUGCGCUUAAGAAAUUCUUUCACAAUAUCCGGAAAGCUUUCUUUAGCUUCAUUCCCAUGAUGUUUUAGCAAGUAUAAUAUAAACUGCUUCCUCAAUUCACACCCAUCUUGCAUAAACAAUACAUGUAGUUAGUAUUAAAAUUUCACGCCGAAGGUCUUAACACAUGUAACGGACAAUACUCACCGAGCAAAUCGGCUUGACCAAUUCUUUACCGUUCCACCAGAGCAUAAAAUGGAAAACAAAAUAUCCAGACACAUUCCUGCAAAACUUUAAAUUAAUAAUAUAAAGAAUAUAGUGAUAAUAAAAGUAAAUGUUUUUCGUAUGGAUUCAUUACCCAUCUAUACUCGUUGGAACACCAAACGGAAAUAAACGUUGCCAUUUAGAUAUAUCAUAAUUCCAACCAGGCAGCUUUAUUUCGAGUGCUUCUUUGAAAUCCCUUGCAAAACUUUUUAAUUUCAGUGCAUGCCUUAUCUUUUUUUCCUCUAACGAUUGUGAUGUUUGAAUAGGAUCCAUAAUAUAUAGGCGACAUGCCUCUUUAUCGAUGACGUACAAGAUGUAUUGGCCGAUUGAUGAAUAGGGAAGAUAAAUCUACAAGUGGAGCUAUUAGAAACAACAAUAAACCAUGAUAACAAUGGACAAAUAACUUUACUUACCUUGUUGCAUGCUGAGAUAUCGUUGUCCAUCCCAGGCCAACUAUCAAAUAAUGUUGCCAACGUCUGGAUAGUGUCCUUCUCGCAAAACUUCUGACCUCGUGUUGACUCUAGAAACAUGGACUAAGCAAAAAAAGAAAUAUUGGUUCAACAUGUUGUUAAUAAUGACACAUAAAUUGAAUAGUUACGGUAACUUACACAAAAUCAUAGAUCCAUGUAGUUACGGGAGGGUCUGUGAACAAUACUCCCUCGUCACAUGCCAGCAUACGCACGACGGUGUUGAAGCAUUCAUUGUCCAUGGGCUGCUCCAUGUUUAGUAUGCACUGAAGUUUCUUAAGACUUAAGCCCACUGGAUCGGGUGUCGAGCUCCGGACCCAUAACUUCCUACAAAUUUGGAUGGUAAGAAGAACAAUAAUAUACAUCCGCAUAUUAAAUAUUGACACAUGAUACUUACUCCAGACAUCCAGCAUCAUCGAUCGACAUGAUGUAGCUGCAAAGGCCGGCAAGUAAUUCACGUUUCUUCGUGGGUAUGGUAGUUAUUGGGGCAGGACGUUUGUCUUUGACAACAUCAGAUGGAUUCUCCAGGAUCUCGAGAUCAGAAUUAGCUAAAUUUCCUUCAUCGUCAGAAUUAUAUAAAGUUUCUUCAUCGUCAGGUUCAUGGUAUAUGGGAACUCCUUUUAGCUUAUUCAGCUCUGAAUCGAGCAAAAUGACAGCUAAUUUUUGUCGAAAAUGUUUCAUAUCCUCCUACAAGAUAUAUAUUUAUAUAAUAUUUCUUAAUAAAAUAACGAGAUAAUGUAAAAAAAAUGAAAUACCUGGGUGAACUGGUCUGACAGUCCAUGUGAUGACCAGUAUUCCAUAUAAUUUAGCAUAAACAAUCCACAUGAUACGCUAUAAUAUUAUAAAAUAAUGCUUUAGAAUAUCACACAUAUGAAUCAAAAAGACAAACCAUUGUAACAAGUGCUUACCCAUCAGUUUGUAUUGCCUUAUGAAACUGCUCUACAACCGUCCAUUUUGUAACAUUGAGAUCGGGCCACUUAUGACCUCUGAUAAAACCCGGGCUAUGCUCUACAAGUUUCAGACGCUUCUCGAGUCCUAGCAACUAUUAAUCACACCAUAUAAUAUUACCGAUCGAGGCAAACAAAACAUAUGUUAAGAUGAGUAAAAAAAUAGAUAGUUACCGUAGUAGAAAGGUCAUUGCGUUUGACCCACGAACCAAGUGAGUCCAAUACUUGAAUCUCAUGUUUUGUGCAUUGGCGACUGCUAGAUACCAAUGGUAGCCCGGCAUGUUAAUCAGAAUGAAUAGCUGAUGUAAAUAUCAUACAAGUCACGGUAGCAAUUAGAUAUAAAUAUUAAUAAAUAAUCAUACAUAUGAAUUAAAUAAAAACAUACCAUAAUUAUAUCCAUGGAUAACGAGACAAAAACUAACCAUAUCUUGUUGUAGAUAAGUAUUAACAUGAUGCACGAUGCGGUGAUAUUUUGAUGGGUCUAUGUCUGUUUCCCCGUCUUCUUUUAUCUGGCCAGAUACAAACGUGCUAACAAUGUGUACCUUCUCACCCGCCCUGUCUUGUAGAUGGUCGUGAGCAAGCAUGCAAUAUAUGUAAGCAUUUAUCACCUGUAAUGAGCAUUUAGAUUAUAUUUAUAUUUUAUGAUAUUAUAUAUUGUUCAUAUUUUUAAUUACAAAGUUUGUGCAAUUGGUCUUACACCGUCAUGUAAGAACAUAUCAUCUUUCAUAAGGCAUUCCAAUUCGUCGGUUGAUAACAAGGCAUCUCCAAUGUCCACGAACUGGGUAUUCUUCGGGGCAGACUUGAUUGAUUCGAUGACUGUAAUAUCCCUAGGGGUACAAACAUAGUCUGUCGAAUACAUAAAAAUAUGAGCCAACUUAACAAUCACAAUGAGCAAAAUUAGUUGAAUACAAAAGACAAUAUCACAAAAAUAAGAUUCAUAAUAAUAUUAAAAAAUACCUUGUGGGACAAUAUGUAAAUUAACAUUCUUUUUUGGUUUGUUAUGAGAUAUAACCUCUUCGACAUUUUUAUGUUGUGAAUUUUCUUCCACUUUCAACGACAUCGCAUCUGACCCUCAAUGAAUUCUUUCCGUGCAUCUUCAAAGUCCAUAUCCAUGUCUCCUCUAUUUUGAAAAAACAAAAAUAUAAAAAUAGCCCUUCCGUAUUAUCAUAUAUAUGAUAAAAAUUGCGGAAUGUUAGCUAUAUGCACCUCUUCUCGUGGUGUUUCACUGUGGUCUGUCAUCGUUGCAUCAGUGAGUAUGUCGGAACCCAUCAAUUUAUAUAUAUGCUGAAAAAUAAUUAAUACUUUUUACUACAUCAUAAAAUUAUAUUUGAUAUAUAAUAAUAUGCUAAUAAAAAAGCAUUUGGUUAUAUUAGAAAAGAAGACACUUUAAUCAUUUUACUAACACAACAAUUCGGGGAAAACAACAAACUAUAAUGUUCAUCUAUAAGUAAGUAGGCGUCUGAGAUUGCUUAAAUUAUUUUAAAUUAAUUAUAUAGGCUAUGGAAAAUUGCCAUACAAAAACUAAAACAAACAAACCAACAUUAACCAAUUAUAUUUGUUUUUUCUAUGAUUUAUUUUGUGAUACCCUUAGUAUAUGUCAUAAGCAUACAAAUAUUUAUUUUUAUGGACCAUGAUUAAUAUAUAUAUAUAUCUAUACAAAUUUGAAUAAUUUGUGAGGUAUGUAUAAUUAAAUAUUUAUGUUGUUUUGUGAUUUAAAAAAAUAAUUACAAAACAAAGUUGAGACGUCCGCUAAUAACAAAUAUACCAUGAUGAAAUAUAUAUGAUAUUUCCUACUGCAUCAUAUUAUUAUAUAUAAUAUAUAAUAAAAAGAAAAGUGAAACUAACACAACUUUUUGCUAUGCAAAAAAGAAAACCUAUUUGAUUUUAUUAGAAAUAUAUGUUGUUUAAAUAAGUGUCCUACCCAUGAAAACUCGGGAAAAACAACAAACCUCAAUGUUCAUAUAUAUAAGUAAGUUGUCAUUUGAUAAUUAUUUAGAUUAUUUUUGUAGACUAUGAAAAACUGUCAAAGAAAAUAAAACAUCGCCCGCCUCCCUCGCGCGACGGCCCGCCUCCCCCCCGCGGUCGCCUUUCCACCUACACGACCGCUUACCCUAUCCAUUCCAGUCGCUCCUCUCCCCUCCACUCACUUCAUCUUCCCACUUUCCCCUCCGCCGCCGCAUCGCCGCGUGUGUCCACCAGCUGGCGGCUGCGCGACUCCGCCCGCCGCAUCAGUCCCUCUCCUCUCCUCUCCACUCACCACACAUGAUGAUUCUCACUCGCCACCUCUCGCCCUGUCACCUCCCUCGCCGCAUCACGGCGUGCGUCGCCGAGCCCGCAACCACCACGCCAUAUUGCCGCGACCACCGCACCAGUCUCCAGCGAGCCGUGCGCGACUGAUGGGGACACACGCAUCGAGCUUCGUCACCCAGGCGCGGGUGCUGGAUCCGGUCGCGUUCCGUUGGGAUCCGCGGCGGUGUUGGUCUCUGGCGAGUUCGACGGUGGAUCCGAAGCGGGGCGCAUCGAUCUGCAAUGCCAGUAGCUCCGGUACGCAGAUCCGACCCCUUUCCUCCUCUAAUUUUCCUUUUGUUGCAUCCCUGAACUGAUCUCCUGCUCGCUGAUGUAUCGAGGCGCCAUGAUAUGCACUCACAGGCAGGGCCAGGGCGAAGAUGGCUCCCCGACGGCCAAGACACGGCCACGGUGGUGCAGCCUGUGGUCUACAUCGCAGGCAAGAAGCACCACCAAGAGGUCGGGUCACAGUGGUGCAGCCUGUGGUCCACAUCGCCUACUACUCCGCCGUCUUCCGCAACCCCCACCACUUCGGCGGAAAGGUGAGACAAACGGCCCCUCCCCGUGUGACGCCCGGGUAAUUAAGCUACGGUAAUCCCCGCUAAUGAUGCCAUGUCACCUCGGUUGCUGUGGAUAAACUCGCGUUAGUUCGGAACCUAGUUCGAAUUUCAAAUUCAAAAUCGAGCAAACAAUAAAAGUUUUCAAAUAUUAAAAUUUAAAUGUUCGGAGUGAACCAAAUAAUACAUAGGUAAUUAUGGUGAUGAAACCACAUUUUUAUAAAGUGUUUAAAUGCUCAAAGGAAAAUAAAACAGCAGCAAAAGAAAGUAAUUAAAUGCCUUUUGUAUUUUGUAAAAUAUUAAACAAUUUUAUUUAGCUGUCCAAAUUAAUGUGGCAGUGGUAUCUUUAACAUACCAUAUUUAGGUGUUGUUCUCACAUUCUUCAAAAUUGAAGUAAAUUAAUAAUUUAAUAAAACCGAAAGGAAUAAAUAAAAGAAAAGGAAAACAGAAAACAAGAAAAAANNNNNNNNNNNNNNNNNNNNNNNNNNNNNNNNNNNNNNNNNNNNNNNNNNNNNNNNNNNNNNNNNNNNNNNNNNNNNNNNNNNNNNNNNNNNNNNNNNNNNNNNNNNNNNNNNNNNNNNNNNNNNNNNNNNNNNNNNNNNNNNNNNNNNNNNNCCACGCCCCUCUCCCCUUCCCCGACCGGAUCGGGGCAGCGCCCCACUGGCCACCUCACCCGAGCCACCACGCCAGACCACACCUCGCCGCCUCGACCGCCUCCUCGCCGGAACCUCGUCACCGCCGCCCGGAGGAUCACCUCGCCGGAACUCCCCCCCCGCUGGAUCUGGAUCGGCACCCGAGCCGAUCCCCGGUGCCCGCGCUCGCCGUCGUUCGCCGUCACCACGCCGGACCCCGUCGCCCGCCUCCUCGGCUGCCACCUCGUCGUUCCGCUUUUCCGCCAACCACCUCGAGCCACUGCCUCCCCGUCCGGCUCACUAUGAGCCCCGUGCCCUCCUCUUUCCUCUGUGCUCCGGCCUCCCCUCCCCUAGCUCGUUCGCCACUGUCACCGGCGCCCAUCGCCGCGCUCGACCUACAGUGGUCGCGCUCCCGCGCGCGCCCUCCCUAUCGCCGUCCACGCCCGCGCCGUCUCCGGUCGCGCUCGAUGCGCGCUCACCGUGCCCCCGUCCGCGCACAGGUCCCCAACGCCGGCCUGCGCGUGGCCCUACCCGUCGACGCCCGCGGCGGGCCACCACCGCUGCCUGCCGGCCGAGUACCGCCGGCGCCGUCACCUUUGUGCGUGCGUGCACAGCCGCGGCACGAGCCAGCUGUGUCACCGCCACAUGGGGCCGGCCCUAAUUAGCUUAGGGGCUAAUCCCCUUUAAAACAAAACCCCCUGGAGUAUGACUACUGGGCCCCACCCUGUAAAAUAAAAUAAAUAUUAACUAAACAAAUAAACUUAAUUAAUUAAUUAAUUAACUAAAUAAAUUAAGUUAAUUAAUCCUAGUUAAUUAAUCUAAUUAAUCUAUUAGUUUAAUUAAACAGUAGUUUGUUUAGCCUAAACCCUAAUUAAGUCUAAACAGAGUAUGACAGGUGGGUCCCACUGGACCCACUGGUCAGGUUGACCAGUCAACCCCCGUUGACUGCUGACGUCAGCAUGACAUCAUGCUGAUGUCAUAAUUCCAUUUUCGAAAUUAAAUUAAAUAAUUAAUUAAAUUCUAGAAAUUAAUAAAAUCUUUAGUAAAUCAUAUCUUUUAAUCCGUAACUCGGAUUAAAUUAUUUUCAACAUGAAAGUUGCUCAGAACGACGAGACGAACCCGGAUACGCAGCCCGUUCGUCCGCCACGCACCCCUAACAUAUCAAACUCGCAACUUUCCCCCUCCGGCUCCUCUGCCCGAAAACACGGAACACCGGGAAUACUUUCCCGGAUGUUUUCCCCCUUCGCCGGCAUCACCUCAUACUGCGUUAGGACACACCUAGCACCGCUCUUUGUCAUGUCUUGCGUCGUCUUGCUUAUGUUUGCACUGUAUUUAUUGUUUCUUCCCCCCUCUUCUCUUCGAUAGACUACGAGACCGACGCCGUUGCUGCCCAGUUCGACUACGGAGUUGACGACCCCUCUCUCUUGCCAGAGCAACCAGGCAAGCCCCCCCUUGAUCACCAAAUAUCGCCUAUUCUUCUCUAUACUGCUUGCAUUAGAGUAGUGUAGCAUGUUACUGUUCGGUUACUCCUAUUCUGUUGCAUAGCCUGAUAUUGUUGCUACAUUUGUUGAUACCUUACCUGCAAUCCUAAAUACUUAGUAUAGGAUGCUAGUUUAUUAUCAUUGGCCCUACAUUCUUGUCAGUCUGCCUUGCUAUACUAUUGGGCCGUGAUCACUCGGGAGGUGAUCACGGGUAUAUACUAUACAUACAUACAUACUAUACAGAUGGUGACUAAAGUCGGGUCAGCUCGAUGAGUACCCGCAAGUGAUUCUGAUGAGGGGGCUGAAAGGACAGGUGGCUCCAUCCCGGUAGAGGUGGGCCUGGGUUCCCGACGGCCCCCGACUGUUACUUUGUGGCGGAGCGACAGGGCAGGUUGAGAACACCUAGGAGAGAGGUGGGCCUGGCCCUAUUCGGCGUUCGCGGAUAUUUAACACGCUUAACGAGAUCUUGGUAUUUGAUCUGAGUUGGCUACGAGCCUAUACGCACUAACCAUCUACGUGGGAGUAGUUAUGGGUAUCCCGGCGUCGUGGUAUCAGCCGAAGCACUUCAGACGUCAGCGACGGAGCGGCGCGCGCCGGAUUGGAACGUAAUCCUGCUCUUGUAUUAAGGGGGCUAGUUCUGCUUUCGGCCGCCCUCGCAACGUGCAGGUGUGCUAAGGGCGAUGGGCCCAGACCCCUGUGCGCUUAGGUUUAGACCGGCGUGCUGACCUCUCUGUUGUGUCUAGGUGGGGCUAUGACAUGUUGAUCUUCCGAGGUCGGGCAUGACCCAGGAAAGUGUGUCUGGCCAAAUGGGAUCGAGCGUGUUGGGUAAGUUGGUGCACCCCUGCAGGGAAGUUAAUCUAUUCGAAUAGCCGUGAUCUUCGGUAACAGGAUGACUUGGAGUUGUACCUUGACCUUAUGACAACUAGAACCGGAUACUUAAUAAAACACACCCUUCCAAGUUCCACAGACAACCCGGUGAUCGCUUUUCUACAGGGCGACGAGGAGAGGAUCGCCGGGUAGGAUUAUGCUAUACGAUGCUAGUGGAGAUGCUACUUGGAGGACUUCAAUCUACUCUCUUCUACAUGCUGCAAGACGGAGGCUGCCAGAAGCGUAGUCUUCGAUAGGACUAGCUAUCCCCCUCUUAUUCUGGCAUUCUGCAGUUCAGUCCACUGAUAUGGCCUCCUUACACAUAUACCCAUGCAUAUGUAGUGUAGUUCCUUGCUUGCGAGUACUUUGGAUGAGUACUCACGGUUGCUUUCUUCCCCCCUUUCCCCCCUUUCCUUUCUUUCUGGUUGUCGCAACCAGAUGCUAGAGUCCAGGAGCCAGACGCCACCGUCGAUGACGACCCCUACUACACCGGAGGUGCCUACUACUACGUGCAGCCCGCUGACGACGACCAGGAGUAGUUAGGAGGAUCCCAGGCAGGAGGCCUGCGCCUCUUUCGAUCUGUAUCCCAGUUUGUGCUAGCCUUCUUAAGGCAAACUUGUUUAACUUAUGUCUGUACUCAGAUAUUGUUGCUUCCGCUGACUCGUCUAUGGUCGAGCACUUGUAUUCGAGCCCUCGAGGCCCCUGGCUUGUAUUAUGAUGCUUGUAUGACUUCUUUAUGUUUUAGAGUUGUGUUGUGAUAUCUUCCCGUGAGUCCCUGAUCUUGAUCGUACACAUUUGCAUGCAUGAUUAGUGUAUGAUUGAAUCGGGGGCGUCACAAGUUGGUAUCAGAGCCGACUGCCUGUAGGAAUCCCCCUUCCACACUCCUUGGCCGAAGUCGAGUCUAGACAUUGCAAAACUUUUACUAACUUGGCUGUGUGCCUUACGGGCCCACGUCGCCAUUGGGUGGUACUAGGAUCUUUUACUCCUCGACCUUUACUCUGGGACUCUGAGCUCUCUUCUAUUCGGGUUAAAUGAUUUCGCUUAAACAAAACUAACUUUAGGUUCUCGCAAGUACUUUCUCCCGGAGAGCCACUUGUUACCGAUGACCGCCUGCUGCACCAGAAGAUUCCGAAGAUACUCUACGAUGUGCUCUCGAGACUAUGUGCCAUCGCUUUUGCAAUUCACUUCCAUCGAUAAAUCCCUCUGGAUAACUACUUACACUUAUCGUUCAUAUUGUCAUCCUCAGUUGCUCUUGUUAUUACAAGAUGUCCUGAAAUACUCUUCGAUAUUCCGACGCUUACUGCCCUGCAGUUCCUUGCUGCAUGAAUACCCCUACGGAUAAUUACUCGCGCUUGCCGAGUAUCCGCUCGUCCCCAGUUGUUCUUGUGUUUCACAAAAGUCUUCAAAAUAACAUUCGAUCUUCCGAAAAUCCUCUGGAGCCUUUGGCUCUUGAAAUUCUUGCUUGCUUGCAUUAUGGUUAAUCCCAUAAGUCUCGUAGUCUUAAUGACAUUCCUUGUCAUUAUCAUUUUGAGUCUGUUGACUCAAUAUGUUUGCGAAUACACGCAACCAUCAUUGAUCCUUAUAAAUUACUUUUCCGGCUAACCUGCCAUUCUUUUAACUGGAAUUGGUUCUCGACCAAUCCAAUUGUCUUUGAUUGUACCCUAAGGCUAUUCAACUUAUCCACCCCUAAUCAGAGCAUUGCUUCUGAUCCCUUGAGUUGGAAAUCAUAAUUCCUUUGCAUUUGACAAUUGAGUUAGUCAGUUGUUUCUAUAAUCUGCUUCCUCUAGUUGAGUACCGAUGCUCACACCAGAUCCCUUAUGGACCACCAGAUCCUUUGUUGGAUUUAUCUGACAACGCCCUUCAUAUUCAAUAACCUUGUGAGCCUUUCCUCGGAUACAUAAUGCCUUUGGUAAAUUGUAUCCUCUGCUUUUCUCAACCAAGCUCUGCCAUCGAGUUUGAGUUAAUUACUCCUAAAGAUUGUGGUAUAUGUUUCUAAGAAGCCCCUGUGGGAUGAACAUAUGCCUUCUCUAAACCAUGUGAACCCGAAGGUUUUCACGAUUCAUACUCUUCUGGUGCUUCGCCAGAUAAAAUUUCAGCACUGCAACUUCAUCGAACGCGAGAAGUGAAUGAAAGGUUAUGCAUUGAGGAAGUGGGAGGCGACCUUGAACUUUGUGUUCAUGCCCAUGGACGCGAUGUAUAUCCUAUCAUGGAAGCUUCUUGUAAUAAUAACUAUUUCCUUGAUAACUAACAUAUGGUAUCUGUGAAUUGAUCCCUUGCAACCGUGGUUCCAACCAUGAUUGUUCUUCUUUGAUUCCAUUUCUCGGACGAGUUAAAACAAUUGUCUCCUAUGGAUCAAUACGCCAGUCCAACCUUUACUUUGAUCUUGUGUCGAGUAUUACCCCCCUGAUAUCUCGAGAUUAUCAUGGAACUGCAUAACAUCUUAUGAGUUCUUCAUCAAGUGCUACCUUCCCACUGAUUCCAAUUUUUCACGGGCUCUGAGUUAUUAAACACUCAAAGACACCGAUAACUGAACCAAGUCCGCUCUACGGUUCAACAACUCUUCAGUAAGCUUCUAUAAGUACGAGUUUGUACCCGAUCACGCCAUUCCUAGCCUGUUUGGCUAUAUCUUUGUCGUGAUGAUUUUAACUGUGCUACCCGAUCCUUCUUCUCGGAGCACAAUUUUCGACGAUGAACUAACCUUACGUCGAUCCUCAUCAUCAUAUCAUUUCGCCUUGAACAACAAGCUUGGUUUCGAGUUUGUGUCGUACCCUUGGUUCCAAUAACCUUUCACUUCAUCAUUACUUUGACUUGAUGUCGUCGCUGAUCGAUUACAUCUUCAUGAACUCUCGCGACAAAGGUGUCGUGAUCAUCAACAUUCUGAGCUCAUCCAGGAUAUCAAUUGAAUUCAUGAUGAGAAAUACCAUCCUUGCCCUCGAUGAAUUGUAUUAUCAUCGACCAAUAUUAUUGCCUUCCCACCAACACAAGCUUGUUCAUGUUUGGUGUUAUACCUUGAGUUCCUUGCUAUCCAGCAAUUAUUCUUCGUUACCUUGGAGUAUUAACAUCCUUUAUGUCAAGAAUGUUCUGAGAUUUGUUCCACCUCUUGAGAAUUCUUGACAUAGAAAUACUUCUCACCAUCACCAUUCUUUCUUGGUCCCCGUGUUAAUUCCAACAAGUGAAUGGUGUUGUUUGGAUUCUUUCCUUCUAGCAACCCUAUUUCUUUGAAGUGAAUGGGUGAUAGUUCAUUCUAAGUCCUUCGCUAAUUGAAUCACCAUUCUAACAUUGGCCGUGCAACCCAACCCAUAUUUCGGGUGCAUCGUUCAACCAAUGUUUAAUUAUGUAUGUUUUCCUCGAGCAUAUCCCAUUAUAUCAUUUGAUCUGACAAAUGUUAUCUCCUUAUCCACAUAAUUGUGGAGAUCCAUCUUUUGGAUACCUCGAUCAGUUAUCGCUGAGUCCAUCAGUCACCUCCUCAUCCUCUCCUUGGUUUAAUGAUGAACUAUUGUUUCAGGAACCCGCUCCCAUAGUUCAUUUCCCGAGAAUCUUACAAUGUCAUUUCGUCGAUAUGUGCCGCAUCUUUUCUUCUCGGACAUCCUGAGUCUGAGGUAUCAUGACACCAAUCGGAUCUGAAUCUUGGUCGGAUAUGAUGGUUGGGACAUUUUCCAAGAGUUAUGAUGUUGAUCCUUUGAUGACCCGGUAACAUGAUGUCAUGCCUAGCACCCCCCCGGCUGGAGGACCUAUCAUUAUAGAUUCCUUUUCAGCAAGGUUAUCCGUUCAUCCAUGGGGAAAUUGUAAGACUUAUUCUACAAGUUAUUCCUGAUGGAUCCUUCGUGUUUCCAAAGUUUGAUCUUCACCUGAAGACCAUGUCAAUGCUACCUCGAAGCAUGUCAAUGGUACUCCGAUUUUCAACAGGAACAUUUGAAGCACGAUGCUAAAUUUUGUUUAUCAUUUAUCCUAACACCGUUGUAUGGGUAAUAUCAUGAGAUUCCUCCCCCUUACCUAAAUGGUUGUCUACUUUAUAUCCUGUCAUUGAUAUCUUGCUCUGCUUGUCCUUGGGAAGGAUAUACCCCUGAAUUAUGUGUUUUAACAUAUUUUCCUUUCCAUUGUUCUGUUUAAUCUGAUAUUCAUAUUUUCCUUUCCAUUGUUGUGUUUGACAUUCUUGUGAUCUAUAUAAUCUAAGCAGUAAAGAUUCACUGCUUAUGUAAACACCUCGAUGUAUAAUUGGUCAGUAAGACCCUGUUACGAUUGUUGAUGAUAUUCCGGUAACCACCGAUGGACGAGAACUUUGCCUAUUGGCCCGCCUCGUUCAACGAGCAGGAAAAUGGUUCUCUUCGUCCCUCGCCCUUGGUAUCGAUGUUGUUGCCGACAUAUCUGACAGGCUACCCUUUGACACGCCUUACUAUCAUGACCGUGCAAAAUGUCGGCCCCCUUCCUACUUUUAACCACAUGGUGGGCCCAUAACCCACAUUUCCACAGGAUCAAAACCUGACUCUCCUGCACCCCCUCUUCCCAAGGUUGUUCCUCGCGUGUGGCCUCGUAUGUAAUUCACGGGCCACCGUCCCAAGUGAUCUAUUUUGGUAAUAGACGCAAUACUCAAUCUCAUUGCUCUGGACCCCUUUCGCAUGUUGUUUCAGGCAUCGAACAAUGGCCUAUCCGUUUGAAACUUCUCAUGGUACCUUCUUACUUUACUCUCGAUAUUUUCUUAAGUACAAUUCGAGAGUUACUUCCUACCCCAUUCCCUGAGUUAUGUACCAGAUAGUCAACCUGGUAAGGCCCGCCCUUCCCGAGUCUUCCCCCCAUAUCCUUUUCGUAAGUACGAUGAAGAUCCCGAAGAAAGGAUGACGACUUCAUCAUUUUGACCUGAAGCAGAAGUAUGAAGGCAUCAAUAUAUUGGAUUGACCUCUUCGAGAAGAGCAAGCCAGGAUGAGAAGACCCGCUAUAUUCGUUAUCAAACCUUCCCCCCUUACUCCCCUCUUAAAUCUCGGGACGAGAUUUCUUGUAGUGGAGGAGAAUUGUGACGCCCGGGUAAUUAAGCUACGGUAAUCCCCGCUAAUGAUGCCAUGUCACCUCGGUUACUGUGGAUAAACUCGCGUUAGUUCGGAACCUAGUUCGAAUUUCAAAUUCAAAAUCGAGCAAACAAUAAAAGUUUUCAAAUAUUAAAAUUUAAAUGUUCGGAGUGAACCAAAUAAUACAUAGGUAAUUAUGGUGAUGAAACCACAUUUUUAUAAAGUGUUUAAAUGCUCAAAGGAAAAUAAAACAGCAGCAAAAGAAAGUAAUUAAAUGCCUUUUGUAUUUUGUAAAAUAUUAAACUAUUUUAUUUAGCUGUCCAAAUUAAUGUGGCAGUGGUAUCUUUAACAUACCAUAUUUAGGUGUUGUUCUCACAUUCUUCAAAAUUGAAGUAAAUUAAUAAUUUAAUAAAACCGAAAGGAAUAAAUAAAAGAAAAGGAAAACAGAAAACAAGAAAANNNNNNNNNNNNNNNNNNNNNNNNNNNNNNNNNNNNNNNNNNNNNNNNNNNNNNNNNNNNNNNNNNNNNNNNNNNNNNNNNNNNNNNNNNNNNNNNNNNNNNNNNNNNNNNNNNNNNNNNNNNNNNNNNNNNNNNNNNNNNNNNNNNNNNNNNNNNNNNNNNNNNNNNNNNNNNNNNNNNNNNNNNNNNNNNNNNNNNNNNNNNNNNNNNNNNNNNNNNNNNNNNNNNNNNNNNNNNNNNNNNNNNNNNNNNNNNNNNNNNNNNNNNNNNNNNNNNNNNNNNNNNNNNNNNNNNNNNNNNNNNNNNNNNNNNNNNNNNNNNNNNNNNNNNNNNNNNNNNNNNNNNNNNNNNNNNNNNNNNNNNNNNNNNNNNNNNNNNNNNNNNNNNNNNNNNNNNNNNNNNNNNNNNNNNNNNNNNNNNNNNNNNNNNNNNNNNNNNNNNNNNNNNNNNNNNNNNNNNNNNNNNNNNNNNNNNNNNNNNNNNNNNNNNNNNNNNNNNNNNNNNNNNNNNNNNNNNNNNNNNNNNNNNNNNNNNNNNNNNNNNNNNNNNNNNNNNNNNNNNNNNNNNNNNNNNNNNNNNNNNNNNNNNNNNNNNNNNNNNNNNNNNNNNNNNNNNNNNNNNNNNNNNNNNNNNNNNNNNNNNNNNNNNNNNNNNNNNNNNNNNNNNNNNNNNNNNNNNNNNNNNNNNNNNNNNNNNNNNNNNNNNNNNNNNNNNNNNNNNNNNNNNNNNNNNNNNNNNNNNNNNNNNNNNNNNNNNNNNNNNNNNNNNNNNNNNNNNNNNNNNNNNNNNNNNNNNNNNNNNNNNNNNNNNNNNNNNNNNNNNNNNNNNNNNNNNNNNNNNNNNNNNNNNNNNNNNNNNNNNNNNNNNNNNNNNNNNNNNNNNNNNNNNNNNNNNNNNNNNNNNNNNNNNNNNNNNNNNNNNNNNNNNNNNNNNNNNNNNNNNNNNNNNNNNNNNNNNNNNNNNNNNNNNNNNNNNNNNNNNNNNNNNNNNNNNNNNNNNNNNNCGGCGGGCCACCACCGCUGCCUGCCGGCCGAGUACCGCUGGCGCUGUCACCUUUGUGCGUGCGUGCACAGCCGCGGCAUGGGCCGGCUGUGUCACCGCCACAUGGGGCCGGCCCUAAUUAGCUUAGGGGCUAAUCCCCUUUAAAACAAAACCCCCUGGAGUAUGACUACUGGGCCCCACCCUGUAAAAUAAAAUAAAUAUUAACUAAAAAAAUAAACUUAAUUAAUUAAUUAAUUAACUAAAUUAAUUAAGUUAAUUAAUCCUAGUUAAUUAAUCUAAUUAAUCUAUUAGUUUAAUUAAACAGUAGUUUGUUUAGCCUAAACCCUAAUUAAGUCUAAACAGAGUAUGACAGGUGGGUCCCACUGGACCCACUGGUCAGGUUGACCAGUCAACCCCCGUUGACUGCUGACGUCAGCAUGACAUCAUGCUGAUGUCAUAAUUCCAUUUUCGAAAUUAAAUUAAAUAAUUAAUUAAAUUCUAGAAAUUAAUAAAAUCUUUAGUAAAUCAUAUCUUUUAAUCCGUAACUCGGAUUAAAUUAUUUUCAACAUGAAAGUUGCUCAGAACGACGAGACAAACCUGAAUACGCAGCCCGUUCGUCCGCCACGCACCCCUAACAUAUCAAACUCGUAACUUUCCCCCUCCGGCUCCUCUACCCGAAAACACGGAACACCGGGAAUACUUUCCCGAAUGUUUUCCUCCUUCGCCGGCAUCACCUCAUACUGCGUUAGGACACACCUAGCACCGCUCUUUGUCAUGUCUUGCGUCGUCUUGCUUAUGUUUGCACUGUAUUUAUUGUUUCUUCCCCCCUCUUUUCUUCGAUAGACUACGAGACCGACGCCGUUGCUGCCCAGUUCGACUACGGAGUUGACGACCCCUCUCUCUUGCCAGAGCAACCAGGCAAGCCCCCCCGUGAUCACCAAAUAUCGCCUAUUCUUCUCUAUACUGCUUGCAUUAGAGUAGUGUAGCAUGUUACUGUUCAGUUACUCCUAUUCUGUUGCAUAGCCUGACAUUGUUGCUACAUUUGUUGAUACCUUACCUGCAAUCCUAAAUACUUAGUAUAGGAUGCUAGUUUAUUAUCAUUGGCCCUACGUUCUUGUCAGUCUGCCUUGCUAUACUAUUGGGCCGUGAUCACUCGGGAGGUGAUCACGGGUAUAUACUAUACAUACAUACAUACUAUACAGAUGGUGACUAAAGUCGGGUCAGCUCGAUGAGUACCCGCAAGUGAUUCUGAUGAGGGGGCUGAAAGGACAGGUGGCUCCAUCCCGGUAGAGGUGGGCCUGGGUUCCCGACGGCCCCCGACUGUUACUUUGUGGCGGAGCGACAUGGCAGGUUGAGACCACCUAGGAGAGAGGUGGGCCUGGCCCUGUUCGGCGUUCGCGGAUAUUUAACACGCUUAACGAGAUCUUGGUAUUUGAUCUGAGUUGGCUACGAGCCUAUACGCACUAACCAUCUACGUGGGAGUAGUUAUGGGUAUCCCGGCGUCGUGGUAUCAGCCGAAGCACUUCAGACGUCAGCGACGGAGCGGCGCGCGCCGGAUUGGAACGUAAGCCUGCUCUUGUAUUAAGGGGGCUAGUUCUGCUUUCGGCCGCCCUCGCAACGUGCAGGUGUGCUAAGGGUGAUGGGCCCAGACCCCUGUGCGCUUAGGUUUAGACCGGCGUGCUGACCUCUCUGUUGUGUCUAGGUGGGGCUGUGACGUGUUGAUCUUCCGAGGCCGGGCAUGACCCAGGAAAGUGUGUCCGGCCAAAUGGGAUCGAGCGUGUUGGGUAAGUUGGUGCACCCCUGCAGGGAAGUUAAUCUAUUCGAAUAGCCGUGAUCUUCGGUAACAGGACGACUUGGAGUUGUACCUUGACCUUAUGACAACUAGAACCGGAUACUUAAUAAAACACACCCUUCCAAGUUCCACAGACAACCCGGUGAUCGCUUUUCUACAGGGCGACGAGGAGAGGAUCGCCGGGUAGGAUUAUGCUAUACGAUGCUACUUGGAGAUGCUACUUGGAGGACUUCAAUCUACUCUCUUCUACAUGCUGCAAGACGGAGGCUGCCAGAAGCGUAGUCUUCGAUAGGACUAGCUAUCCCCCUCUUAUUCUGGCAUUCUGCAGUUCAGUCCACUGAUAUGGCCUCCUUACACAUAUACCCAUGCAUAUGUAGUGUAGUUCCUUGCUUGCGAGUACUUUGGAUGAGUACUCACGGUUGCUUUCUUCCCCCCUUUCCCCCCUUUCCUUUCUUUCUGGUUGUCGCAACCAGAUGCUAGAGUCCAGGAGCCAGACGCCACCGUCGACGACGACCCCUACUACACCAGAGGUGCCUACUACUACGUGCAGCCCGCUGACGACGACCAGGAGUAGUUAGGAGGAUCCCAGGCAGGAGGCCUGCGCCUCUUUCGAUCUGUAUCCCAGUUUGUGCUAGCCUUCUUAAGGCAAACUUGUUUAACUUAUGUCUGUACUCAGAUAUUGUUGCUUCCGCUGACUCGUCUAUGAUCGAGCACUUGUAUUCGAGCCCUCGAGGCCCCUGGCUUGUAUUAUGAUGCUUGUAUGACUUCUUUAUGUUUUAGAGUUGUGUUGUGAUAUCUUCCCGUGAGUCCCUGAUCUUGAUCGUACACAUUUGCAUGCAUGAUUAGUGUACGAUUGAAUCGGGGGCGUCACACCCCGCUCCCCCGUUCACAUGAAUCCCAACAACAUCAUGCGAGUUCUAUGCUUGUAUACUCUAUACUUCAAACUAUCAUCAUGUUCAUUGCCAAAAGUAUUGGUGAAUCCCGUGUUUUCAGAUAAUAGCAAGGUUUCUCCUUGCAUGAUCAGAUGGUGCUCUCUAGAUCUAACUUACAGUGCAAGUAGUCCAUUUAACACCAAGUCAGAAGAAAUAAACUAUAUUCAUCCAGGUGAUGCCAUUCAUUUGCUAAGUGGUUAUAAACAUUUUUUGGUCUGAUGCAUUUGCUUCUGAAUCAUGACAUGUGGUGUAGUUUACCUGGUUAUGUGCAUGUUCAUGUAAGGAGAGCAAGGAUCCCUGUGAGAUGCUAAUCUAUUUUUGCCAUUAAAUGACACUAUUGAUCACAAUCUUGCUACGGCAGAAACACUAUUGAUCCAUAGCGUCAUAAUUUUUUAUGGGUUAAAUAAUAGGGAUAUUAUGUCAAACAAUUGAAGCACAUUUUAUUAUUAGUGCAAUGCAAAUUGAUUGUGCAAUUUGGGAUGUAAGAGCACAUUUAGAUGGAAGUCGUGGUAAUAGAAUAGGAGUACUAAAAAUGUUAUGUGUGUUCUGUACAGAACGCUUCCCCUUCUAUUACAUGUCUUGGCCAUAUGCAAUCAUCCACCACAUCGGUAUCACUAAUCCCCGUUUGAUAGCAUAGUUUUUUCUUAGUAUUGUAAGAAUACUGCAGUUUUUUAAAAUACCAUGGUUUAAUUUACCGUGAGCUGUUUGGCAACCACAAAAAACUAAAGUAUUUAUACUGUGGUAUUGUCAAAACCGUGGUAUUUUCUCUGCAUUAAAAAAAGAACCCCAGACCUCUUUUUUAAAAACAGAGCACGCGAAAAAAACGAGCAUGUUCGUUAUCGCCUUCCGCGCUCCCAAGCCGUCGCUGCCGCCCUGAAGAUCGCUAGCCAUGGGACAAGCCAAGAUAAGGCAAUGGAAAGAAUAAUGGUGUACUUCCUACUCCCACUUGCGGUUCUCCUCUCCUCGCACGCGCCAUGUGUCAUGUUGGCCCAUGGCCACCUCAUGCCCAGAUUGCUCAUGUUGGCCCAUGGCCACCUCAUGCCCAGAUUGCUCAUGUUGGCCCAUGGCCACCUCAUGCCCAGAUUGCUCAUAACAUGACCGCGCACACUGUUGGCUGCAACACUAACUCACAACGCACUGCUGGAUGUGUCUGCGCAAGCCGUUGUGUGGGAUCAUAGCCACAACGUAUGUGUGCCAUGCUGCCAUGUCACGACCUUGCUCAUCGCUGCUUGUUGUGCAUGCCUUGCUCCAGAGCGUUGCCCCAUGCCUCAGCGCACCUUGCUCGCCGCUGCUUGCUGUACAUGCCUUGCUCCAGAGCAUCGUCCAAUGCCUCAGCGCACCUUGCUCGCUGCUGCUUGAUGUGCAUGCCUUGCUCCAGAGCGUCGUCCCAUGCCUCAGCGCACCAUGCUCGCCGCUGUCGUUCAAGUCACAGCCAAGCCAGAGCAACACCGCGCACUUUCGUGUGGCACUGUUGUGCACCCGCUGUCAUUGAUGCAUAGCAUGCGGCUGAGUCUGUUUAUGCAUGGCCGUUCAGUUUGCAACAACUGGUCAGCUAAGAUCGUCCAUGUUUGCACCUUUGCUAUGAAACGGCUAGCUAGCUAAUUUACAUUGUUGCAAACAUGCACCAGCCAAACACUCUCAUAGUAUUCCCGAUACUACAAAAUACUUUGAUAUGUCAAAAUUAUGGUUUCUAGUACUUAUCGACAAAAAUACCAUAGUUUCCAAUACUAUAGUUUCUGCAGUACUUUGCUAUCAAACACUGCAUGCUUUAAUCUGUUUUCAUGCGGGCCAAUUGGAAUUUCUCUUCAUUUUGUCGAAAAAUGGAUGUGUAACCUUUUGAUUAACCUGUAACAUUAAGCUUGUCUUGUAUCUACUUGAUUGGUUUUGCCAAAUAAUAUGAACACACACACUGAACAAAAUUUACAUGGAUUUACAAGAUGGGCAAUUAAUCUUAGUCUCCUUCCUCUUACACUUUUCAUAUGGUAUAGUUCUUAAUUAAGUUUAACAGGAAUCUUGAUUAUACUUUGUUGAAGUUGAGGUAGGCAUGAGGGCCGGGUAGAUUAAAAUUGCCACUAUUUGCAUAAGUAGCACUGCCAAAUGUAUUCUAAGGAUUUGGCCUCAAUCACUAAUUAUGAAGAUUCAGUUUUCAUUGUGCCCACUUGAUGCUGUCAGCGAGAUCCUUUAUGCCUUAUAAUUUAGGUUGUUGUAUUCUUUCCUACCACAUCCAUUGUGUUGCUUUGUUAUGCUAAAUUAACCACUUGAUCGGGAGUAUGCUAUCAGCAAUAUCCUUUAUGCCUUCUAAUUCAGGUUGUGUUAUUGUUUCCUACCAUGUCAAUUGUGUUGUUUUCUGAUACACGGGAAUUAGAGGAAGGAUGUUGGUUUGAACUUUAGACUUGUAUCCUGUAGCUAGCUUGCAUUUUGUUGACAUCCUAUCUGGUGCUUCUCCUCAUCAUUCAGAUAAGCAAAUGAAUAAUGACAUGCCAUACACGAAGGCUAUCUCCCAUAUUGUUGGAUCUCGAGUAAAUACUUAUGCAAUAUCAGUUUCUUGUUUUCAGAAACUUAAAAACAGUGGCAUACAAUAUUGUCUCACAGAACAGUACAAGCUCCUGCCUUCUAGAGAGCCGAUCAUACCUAUCUUGUUUGAUUUGAUGGAGGAUUAUGAAGGGUGCCAGAUCAAGAGAUCAUGUGCAAGUGAGUUUUUGAUUUUCUUUACUAUAUUGUUCAUAUAAUUUAACUAUUUAUUAUUAUUUUAUACAUGGACUUAUAGCUAUGUUGUUUACCUUAGGAGCAGCAGUGUCUUAGAACAUGUUUAUAAUUCAAGCAAAACUUGGUGACAUGUUUCUAAUUCGUGAUGGUCUGCAAGCUAUGAUUUAUGAGCCGAUAGAAAGUUUAAAUAUUUGUUACAUUUGGAAGGCCAGAAGGUGGUUUAGAAUAUUUUUGUUAUAUUCAUUGUAUUACUUGCUCUAUCUUGAGAAUGUAGUUGGUAUUGAAGUAUUACAUAUCCAUUAUGAAUAGUUUUAGACUAUUCCAUCGAAGCAUUUUGUCAUCAUGCAAAUUCUAUUAAAUGUAAUGACUUACAAUUAUGACUCUGAUGAUAUAUAUCUUCAGAAGAUGGUUAUAUUUGUUUGUUUUCUGGCAUGUUGAAACACUUAAGAAGUUAAUUGUUUGUUUUUCUGGCUCAAAUAUAUUAAUGAGAUUUCAUUAAAAAAUUAGGCAGUCAACUAUGGUUAUAACUUAAAAAGUUAGGUGUAUGCCACACAUGCGAUGUCCACAAUAGACUGUUAGCCUAUAAUAUCUGAAAUAACUGUUUGUAUUCAGUUCCAGCCCACCUAAUAGGACUGCUUGAUUAGAUCUAAAUCAAUUGUAUUGGCUGACACUAUCUCCAAUGGUGUUCUUUCUUUUGAAUUUUAUGGUAUGCCUGACCAAGCAUGAUCCUAAUCUAAUAACUGUUACCCUUUUACAGAAUAGAAAGAUCCAGAAAUUUUCAUACCUAGAGGACCUCGCCUGCUUGGUGCUCCUUGAUUACAGAAGGUACUCCUCCGGAAUAUGUCCUCCAAGUCUGGGUAUUUUGAUCCUUUGGUAUAUGUGAUGGGCGAAGGGAGAGUAUGGAGGGGGAUGAGGGAUGGCAUAGGAGGUUAACAUAUAUAGGUAGGAAAUUAAGGGGAAGGCUGGGUAGUAGAUAUCUUCCCAGUUCUACCAUAUAUAUUAAUGUAUGGUGCAGAUAUCUUUCCUUUUUUCAUCAGACACACACCUCAUAAUAAAUUAGAAAAGAUGUCAGAAAUCAGAACUUACUAAAAUACUAAAAUGUUGUAUUAAUUUCCUAAACAACUGAUCAUGGCAGAGAAGUUACUGAUUGCAUGCCAUAUAACAAUGAAAUAUCUUAUUUGUAUAUUUAAAUAUUGUUUCUAUUUUUAUUAUUGUUCAGUUUGAAAAGGUAAACAUGAACUUUCUAUAUAAUUUAUGUGUAUUUAAUCAGUUCAACGUGUACUAUAAAAGUUCAAUUAACAAACAAAUAAUCUUAAAUGUUUUGUUUCUGAAAGUUGGCAAUUAACAACCUUCUGAUUUUGUUGUAUGCACAAUUAAAAUCGACUGGGUACGAGCGGCCGUAGGUCACAAGGGGGCGUGGAACUGCUGCAGCCAAUCUCAGAUAGAGUAGACUCCAGCGAAUUUGACCAUCCAGGUACAUCCUCUACACGACUAAACGAACGCAACUUGAACAAAAUUUGACUUGAUUAUUAUAGUAGCUUAGUAGUAGUAGGUUACUGCACUCUUAUUUAUGUUGAACAAUCACUGCACCGGAUAUGCAAGCCUGGGAUUAUAUAUGUGUGGGGGUCUGUGAUAUUGUGAGUGGUCUGACUAUGUUAAGCUUGAUGAUAUUUGCACAAACUGUGUAAGACAAACAGACUGUUUGAUUUGUUAAUUUCUCUUUGACGCGCAAAGCAAAAUGCAUCGUUGUCUUGGUUGGCUAGGAUCAAAUUAACCAACCAAAAUUUAUAAGUUAUAUUCUCUAAUUAUAGUGUUUUUCCUAAAUUGCUUGAUGGUUUCCUCACUUGAAAUAUUAAUAUUGCUAAGCUCAAUCAUGGUAUGAUUGCAUUGUUUUUAAAAAACCAAUGGCGUUAAGCACAUUUAUAAGUUCAAAUGUAUUUGGCUGUUGAAUAUCAGUCUUUUUUUAAUCAAAAUUAUUAUGAAUAUACUUCGGUGUUGUGGUGGCUCUUUGAUUUCCCUAUACAAAUGUCUGUUUUUAGUGCAAAUGUGUUCCUUGAUCAACUAAACUUGGUGAAAGUACAAUCUGGGGGAGCCUUGAAGCCUUCUCAUGUAAGAGUAUAAUCAACUCAAUUUUGAUAAGUGAGUCCAUUACAUCAUUCUAAUAGGAUCAAGUUACACUUUAAUUUGUAGGCAAAGCAUGCAAACAUGAUCGUUGGAUUUCAGUAAUACUUGAAAUGAGGUAAAUACGUUCCAUCACACUAUGAUUUACGACAACUGCUUUUCUUUGAUUGCUGAUGUUGAUAAGUAGGCAUUGGCGUGAUACUUAUAUGUAGUUCUUAUUGGCAAAUAUAUAGUUAGGGAUCGUAUUGUUUUUAAGGCGUCUGUAAGGACUUGCAAGCUCAAGGCGUCCAGCUUGCCUUAGGUACCUGAGUAAGGCGUCCGACUUAAUCUUUAAGGCGUCAGAAGCGCUGCUAAGGCGUUCAGGUUGGCGCCUUGAUCCAGAUUGGACGCUUUGAGCUUGCCAGACAGGCAGGGAAGUAGUUUUAGGCAGGAAACAGCCCCCCUUCUACACCACCAUCCUCUGCUCUUGAUGAUGCUCAUGUUAAGUUGUUCAUUGCUUGCUAUUAUCAGUUGCUCAAUGCUUCCUGCUUUGCUGGUUGCUCUGCUAGCUGCUUUGUUGUAUCGCAAUAGAAAAUUCACGACGUGCACAGUAACAUAUCUACUAUUAAAGUGGUUUUGGUUUUUUACUGUACGUACUGAUCAAUAAGAAAAACCAUUCCUCUCUCAUUUUUGUUACUAUAUUCAGGAACACACAAAAUAUAAUCAGCGCUUAUUCGCUAGCUGGAAUUGAAGGCAACGACGAGAGAGGAAGAUCAAGGACAACUUCAAAAUAAAAUAAUAUAUUCAAGGUACGUGUCGUAUGACCGUCAUUAGUUUAUUGGCUACUCUCUAGCUGGAAUGUGAUUAUUACCGACGAAGAAAACCUCGUAUAGUAUAACAGUGUGUGUAUGGAUGGAGUUAUACUAUACGAGGUAGUAUAUGAUGUGAGGCACGGAAUGUCUGAAAACAUCACCUGGUCUACUUUAGGUAUGUUGUGAACCUGCCAUGGUACAACACAAAAGUACUACGGUUCACCUGAAGCACCAAACCUGGUCCAAACUGGUCUAGAAUUAAAGAUAAAUAAACAACCAAAAUAGCUAGUGGAUGCCACCAUCAAACACUCUUUAAACUUUAAAAAUAUUUCAGAAAAUGUCAUCUGAUAAUCUUAUCAGCACGGGCAUUCAAACAUAUUAUUACCUAGCAAGCAACUAAACAUGAUAAUAUUUUUAGGUAUUUAUCGAUGCAGCAGUCCUCCUUAGCCACCAAUAAAUCUCAACGCUGCUCUAACUUGAUCUGGAAUGUUAUCCUUUGCUUCAUUCUCCCUGACCAUGAACAUCUGGACCAUUAGUCGCUUCCUGAGACUUUGUGGAUCCUUCAAAUUAAGCAUAUAAAAGUCAGAAGAUAUAUUUAGCAAAUAUAUGAAAGCUGUAACCUCAUUACAAAUGCACUUACAUCAGUCCUAGGCAUGUUAUGAACCAUGUCAUUCCCGAUAGUUUCAUACAGAUAGGCCAUCUCCUGUAAAACUUUGAAUCCGGAGUCCAUGUUGUCACAAAAAAAACAAUAUUGUAAUAGCUAUAUUAUAACACACACUAAUAUCUAAGACAAAUUUAAAACAGUACCACCUAGGUGAAACAUGAAUAUUCUCUUGUUCGGGCCAUUCCAGAAGUUGGCUGUUCCUAUCAGGGGCCUCCUGUUGCAAGAUAAAGCUCAAUUCUUGCUUCACUAAAAGGGCUUCCCUCUGAAGUUCAGUGUCAUGGAAGUCCUCCUCAAAAUGAAAUAAAGCCUGGUUUGAAUAAUCAAUAACGAUAGUCCUCUCCAUUUCCAUUUUCACUGCUAAAAGACCGUAUGACGAAUCCACGUGUGCCAGUGGGAGAAUAUACUGCAUUUGGUAGACAAAGGUAAAUGCCAAACAAAAUAACCAAAAUAAUUUCUAACAAUGAGAAAACUUACAAUUGUAGGGGUGUGAAACACGUCGUAUCUUGGAAAGGUUCAAGCACGACAUUGUUAAUGAGUGCAUUGGUGCGCUGUUCUUGGCUUAACCAAGUCUGCCUUAGCGCCCGUGCUUGCUCAUGGAAUCCCAAAUUGAAAAAAUGUGUCUUUCCAACAGAGCUGGUGCCUGCGGUCCUCUCUGCUGCGUCGGUAGUAAUCUUACGCACGGCAAGAUUGAAGCACAACGGAUGGGCAACUCCAUCUCCUCUGAUGGUGUCUCGGAUGAUCCGUAGGCUAAUCUUGAUAGGGAAUGGGCGGGGGCUAUAAAUCCAGAUUGUGCUGUCAAAAGGAAGAACAAGGUUCAUAACAGUCAUAAGUUUAAAUAAACGUAAACUCAAACAAAUGAACUGUGUUGGUGUCUAUAACAUAUGACUAAUUUAAUGAUAAUACAUAUCACAUCAAAUCACCUAAAAAAUUUGCAAUCUCUACGUAAGUUUAGUAUUUUUAUAUUAUGCACGAGCAAUAAAUUAAACAGAUUGCAGUGAUUUCAUAGUAGCUUAUCACUUGUUCAAUAUUGUUGGGAGUGACUGGGAUGGACUUAUAUGAGAACUUGUAUAAAAAAUAUACAUGUAUAGGGCAGUGGACCUAGACGAUGAAGUGCAAACAAGAUUAGAUAUUUAGGGUUGUGAGAACUUACUCUAGUUGUUCUUCGUCUGAGGAAAGCGUGAUGAGAUCAUACACCGAAAAUUGGCAUUGCUUCCAUUACUAGGGCAAAACAUCGGUCGUAGCACCGGAAAAGCGAGGAGGGAUCAGUGGACGACGGUUAUGUCAGGACCCGUAGGAUUAUAUAUUGAGUAGAGAUGAUGGCCGCAGGGAACGUUCCCCUUAACGUUCCAUAUUUGCAUGUUUCCGUAAGAAAAAACUAUCAUAAAUUAAGGCAAGAUCUUUAUUUUGAUUGCACUAUGCAGAUAAAUCAGAGACAUAUUAAAUGUUUCCUAAUAUAUGCCUCCCUUUCCCCAGAACUUUCCCAAUCGAAAAAUAGAAAGAAACAUGAUUUAGUAUUUCGCGAGCGAUAGCUGCAACGCUCGAUGCCCACACGGAAAGCGAUCGCUACACCCCCAUAAUUUAACCGGUGGGCCCUGAUGUCUUUCCCUAAUAAAUCUUAAUAUUAGUUUUCAACGGUGUGGCCCGGUGGCUUUCCUCUAAUAAAUCUUUCCCCAUCUGGAUUCAAGCGUUGGGCUCCAUGGGCAACAAAACCCUGGGCAAAGGUAGGGACAGCACCCGGCCAUAGGUAUGUGGUACCUGCCCCAUAUUGGACCCGGACAGCGCUAGAGCGGCUGCGACAUUAUUACAUGCCAGAGGGCAAUGUUCAAUUUAGAAGGAACUAAAAUCCAAAUAAGAAAAGUUUGAAUCUCCCUAAAGAGCACUCCACUUGGAAUUUUUGAUAGCUUGGACCAGUUGCAUUGAAGCCUUCUCACAAUCCACUCAAUUUUGAUUACUAAGUCCACUGCGUGAUGGCAAUAGGGGCCAGCUCCACUUUAAUUUGCAUGCAAGCAUGCGGCACAUAAGCCUUGAACAUGAGGUAUUUACUUUCCAUCAGCCUAUGACGUAUUUACCACAUCUGCUUUUUUUAGAGCUGAUAUUGAUCAGUAGGCAUUGCCAAAUAUAAUUCAUGACUUCACGGUUAAAUUCACAUAUCCUGGUUGGACUUACACAAGUGUCGGCCCAUGCUAGGAAGUAUGAAUGUUAUACACAAUGAUAGCGUGUGUAAAAUUCAAUGGUAGAGGAAGUGACAGGGGAUUUAUAUGAAUGUUCCACUUUGUACAUCUUCGAGGUAAAGACAGUAGCUACAGAAACAGGUAGUGGAACAAUGCUGCUGCCGAAGGAUGUAAAUAUCCUAUGCACGCACAUGCAUUUGCCUAGUAUAGGAAAAACAUUAAAACCCUGGCGACUCAUCUCAUCUUGCGUCAAACCCUAUUAGCCCUGUACAACUUCCCAAAUGGGGCUCACUGCUCAUUCAUGGUAGACAAACGAAUGAUUCGUUCGUGACAUUCCAACAAAAUCAAUUAACAAUCCAAAAAUAUGGUAGAAACACCAAACUUCAAUAGUACCAAAACACCAUAAAGUUUGGAUAGUUUGAUAAUACCAAAACAUCAUAAAAUUUUAAAACAUACGUGUUUAUCAAAUUAUUCAUAUCAAAAAUAAAUUAUUAUCAAAGCGAUCCCUAACAAAGCUGAAGUAUAGGAAAAUAUUUUCGGCAUAGCUGCAUGCAUCAGUCCAUCUUCAGUUGCUCAAAACCCUCAAGGCCGAUCUAAUCCCUGCCGGGAUGUUUGGACUUGCUUCAUUGUCUUUGACCAUUAGCAUCUGGACUAUAACUUGGUGUCUGAGCUGUAUUGGAUCCUAGGAAAGGUGCAAAAACUCAAUCAUUUAAUAAAUUGGUUGAAUAAUAUUUAGCACACAUCAACUAAUCAUAUAUGUACUUACCCUAGUGUUCAUCCAGCCCAUGUUACGCAUACAACCAAUCUGAUGGGCCAUCUCCUGUAGGACAAAUAAGCCAGAGUGUUUGCUGCGACACAAAAAAUGAAAUAUUAAACACUAUAACAGUAUGCAUCUUAUGUAUGCGAUCAAUUUAGUAGAUUACCCACGACCAGCAGAGGACAUUGUCUCUUGUUCCCAAUCCAUGAUUAGGGUAUUCCAACCAGGGAUCCUAGUCUGCAACACAUUGUUGAAAUCUUCCUUCAGCAAUGUGAUUUCCUUCCUCAUCAAUAUGUUAUGAGUGCUAUCUUCAGGAUCAAACGUGUUGAAGGAUGGAUCCAUCACGACAACCCUCCUCCUCAGCCGGUUGACUACAAGUAACCCGUACGAGGAAUCCGAAAGUUUCAACGGUAGUAGAUACUGUGGCAGGUCGAGACAUGUCAAUUGCUAUUAUAAUAAGUAUAACUAACUAUAAGAACGAGCGUCUCUUACAAUUAUAGAGUUGAACACAUCAUAUUUAGGAAGAGGCUGGACCACAACGUAGUUAAUCAGCGCCGUGAUGCGCUCUCCUUGCGUCAUCCAGGAGUACCUCAGGGCCUGUGACUGAGCAUGAAACUGCAAGUCGAAAUAAUGUUUGCUUCCAACCCAGUUGGUGCCUGCGGUCCUCUCUACUUCAGCGCUAGCAAGCUUACGAACAACAAGGUUGAAGCAUUCAGGAUGAAGUUUUUUAUGAAAAAUGGGUGUCCUGAAUCAUUCGGAGGCUGAUUUCGAUCUGGUACGGCCGGGCGCUUCUUAUCCAUAUUGAGCUGCAAAAGAAAUGCACAACAACAUUUAGCAAAGGACAUCAAUGGUCCUCUUCCAGUUUAACUUUAUUCGGCAUGGCAUAUAUGGAUUUUUUAAUGAGAACCUCGUCUCCUUGCUUACCCGCCUGGCCAUCGGAAGGAAUUAAUUACCUUGGUCAAUCAGCGAAAGAAAGAAAUGAUCUAGUUCAUCAUCACAAUCCUUCCUAUUAGUUUCAUUAAAUAAUUCAGCCCCAGAGUGUUGGCAAUCAAGGGCCAAGAAAUAAUCCCAAGUCUAUCCUAUCUCGCCACGGUCGAAAGCAAAUCCAUGUCUCUUCCUAUACCGAAAUCGUCGUUUCAUAGUCUAUACUAACCUAUAAACCAAAUUCAUGGUUAGAUUGCAUGACAUUGCACGAGGUCAGAUUGUCCCCACCUAGAUGUAUCUACAUGUAUCAAAUCUAGAACCUUAAUUCAUGGCAUUUGCAUGACAUUGUUCAUGUAUAAGGAUUCAGCUAAAAAACGUAUAAAUGUACCUAUCUUAGUUUGCUGUGUACCAGAGUGUUCCUACAUGAUUUGUAUAUAGCACAAGAAUGUAUAAUAAGACAACUUACUUUAAUGUAUCUUGGUCUCGAACGCCCAUGAUAAAGUGAAAUAUGUAUUGGAGUGCAUCUUCCACGACAUGCAUUGGUGGGGGGAGAAGAUCCAUGGGCGCAGGCACAUCCUCCUAGGGCACAGGAACAUCCUCCUGGUGCGCGGGCGCACCCUCUUGGGGUGCGGGCGCAGCGUUCCCAAUUAUCGCCUCCAUGGGAUAGAAAAUUCGUUAUUGAUCGGAAAUUGAUGAUGGGGUAUCUGUGAAGUUGGGUGGGUGGUGAAAUAGGACGCUGGUGGAAUUUAUCAAAUUGUUACCGUGACAUCUAAUUGUUUAGAGAGUUAAUAUUGCCUUCCAAAUGAUGAACGUCAUAUAAUUAAAUACGUUAUUCAUUUCCUUGUACAAAUUAUUUCCAAUCGUGUUAGGAUCAGAUCUUUCUCCCAGUAUUAGAUAAUAACUUCCCAAUACCAUAAUAUUCAGCCAUCAAACGGAUUAUUCCCUACGUAUAUAUAACUCAUAGGCAACUGCCCGUGCGUUGCAACGGGGUAUAUAUAUUUAGCUGUUCAACACCUAUAUCGCAUAAUAUAACCUAUAACAUGUGGAAUAAUCUAUAGCUUCAAUUAUGCAAAUAAUGCCAACUGCUUUUACAUGUAAUGUUCCAUAUUUUGGUCGUUGGUAUAUCUCCCUGAAUUUGAGUUAUAAAAUACGUUUUUGCUAACAUGUGGAAUAAUCUAGAACAUGUGGAAUAAUCUAUAGCUUGAAUUUGAGUUAUAAUAUAUGUUUUUGGUAACGAACAUAUAGUUGUGCUUUAAGUAGUAUUGCACAUAUAAAUCACAUGUCAUUGUUUGUGCAUCAAGAUUGAUGUGGGUAGCUUUUUUCUUUAUUUUUAUGUUUGAGUGGUUCAUAUAAAUGUGCAAUAACUAAGACACAUCUAGUUAUGCCCCUGACAUACACAUUUCACGCCUUCUUGAAAGAAAUAUCAAGAUUUAUCAAUAAAAUACAUCACUACUAAGUAUUGUCAUAAAAUAUUAGUGCAUGAAACACCUAACAUUGGCAUUUUAUUCCCGCAAAUAUGCAAAGAUCAAGUAAGAGUUUACCAUGCUCAUAUUAUUGCGAAAACUAAGAUUAGUAAGUGAAAAAUAAUGCACGUAUUGUUUGCUAUAUUUUCCAAUUGGAACAAUAUCCUUCCAUGCGCGCCAUGGGCGCACCAUCGUGUUAGGUUCAUGGACCACAGGACUAAGCAGUAGGGUGGUCUCUCUAUCUCUCCCUUUCUAUGGGAUAAUUGUAACAUGAUCUCAAACACCGAGAAUGAGGCCUUAAUGAAUCCUUUGUCUGAUGAAGAUCUGGGAGGUCAUUAACUCUGCCAACCCGAAGGCAGCCUCUUGGCCCUGAUGGGUAUCCUAUUCCCUUCUUCAAGAAGUGUUGGCCUUAGCUGCAUCAGCUGAUGUGUCAAAUCAUUCAAGGUUUCUAUGUGGGGACAAUUGACAUUUAUCGCCUUAACUAUGUUCUCAUUACUCUUAUUACUAAAGUGAAAUGAGCUGAGCGUUGUGAUUUACGACAAGUGCUUUUAUUUUAGCACUGAUGUUGAUAAGUAGGCAUUGACGUGUUAGUUAUAUAUAGUUCGUAUUGCCAAUUAUGUAGUUCAUGACUUUACUGUUCUAAUUGACGUUAACGCACGGGAGUUAUAGGGUGCGUCACAAAACAAAUGUUUAAUAUAUCCAAAAAAAGUAUUUAAACCUAUAUAUACCAUCCAAUGCAUUUUAUAGAUAUCCCUAUUGCCAAAUAGAUAAUUCUCAAUACGAUCCCUAACAAAGAUGUAGUAGCCAUUUAUUUGCGACAUACGAAAAUGCAAUGGACCAUAGUCAGUCGUUCAAAACCCUCAAUGCCGCUUUAAUUUCAUCUGGUAUGUUUCCAGCUGCUUCAUUGUUUUAUCGUCAACAUCUGGACCAGUAGGUUCUUUCUGAGCUGUAUUGAAUCCUAGAGAAGAUGAAAAAAUAGUAAUUUAUAAAUUGCUGCAAAAUAAAUCGCAUGAUAAACCUCGUUAUUGUGUACUUACAUGAGUGGUCUUCCUGCCAGAAUUAGUAGUACCGUUCUGGUGGGCCAUCUCCUGUAGGACAAGGAAAGCAGAGUCUUCGCUGUUACAAAAAAAUGAACUAUAUUAAAACUAUAACGGUCGGCUUAUAACGCGUGUGAUCGAUUUACUAUAUUACCGCCUGUCGUUUGAAGAGAUGCCAUGCGUUGACCAGUCCAUGAGAUUGGUAUUCCAACCAGGGAUCCUCAUCUGCAACACAUUGUUGAACUCUUGUUUCAACAUUGUGAUUUUCUUCCUCGUUUCAGUGUUAUGAAAGUUGUAUGGUCCAUCAUAGACGUCGACUGAUGGAUCAAUUGGGAGAACCCUCCUAGUUUCCUUGCCGACUACAAGUAGUCCGUACGAAGAAUCCACAAAAACAAAUGGUAGUAGAUACUGUCGUAAAUAGACACAUGUUAGUACAAAAUAGAAUAAGCAAAUUAAAUUAUAAUGAUGAGUCUCUUACAAUGUUAGAGUUGAACACAUCAUAUUUAGGAAAUGCCCGAACAAUGGCAUUGUUAAUCAGCACUGCGGUGCGUGUUUCUUGCUCCAUGGAAGAGUGUCUGAGGGCCCGUGCCAGAGAAUGAAACUGCAAGUCGAAAAAAUGUUUGUUUCCAAGCAUUCUUGUAUCUGCAGUGCUCUCUACUUCAGCGCUCGCAAGCUUACGAACUGCAAGAUUGAAGCACUCAGGAUGAAUUAUUCCAAAAAGGCUAAUUGUUUCCUGGAGCAUCCGUAGGCUGAUUUCAAUCUGAUAUGGCCGUUCGCUUCUAAUCCAGAUUGUGCUGCCCAAAAAAUGCAGACCAAUCUUUACCAAAUAACAUCCAUCCAUCUCUGUAUCACAUUUAGACUAACUCUUUUGUAUAAUAUAACGCAGUAAAAAAAGUUACUUAAUAAUGUUAUAACCUGGUAGCUAUUUUGUCUUUAAUAAUGUUAUAGAUGUAUAAAAAUAAUAUGGGCACAUGUACCAUAGGUAAAAAUGUGUGAUACAGAGGCACACAUAAAAUAUUUAACAACGGUGUAACAGUGCAAAAAAUAUAUACACUAAAAUAUAUAACACCUAGACAACCAAACAUAAUAUAGUGGACUAUCAUGGUUAAUUAUGUCUAGCCUGUUGUGUUGCCCAACUGAUAUCUAGCUUGAUGUGUACGAGAGUAAUAUGAAGAGCUUACUUUAGUGCCUCCUCGUCCUGGACAACAGUGAUAAAUUGAAAAAUGUAUUCGACGGCAUCUUCUACGGCAUUAACGUUGCCCGCAACCUCCAGAGGGGCGGGCAAAGCCUCUUUUGGUGCGAGCUGAACAUCAACUGGCUCAUGCACAGCCUCCAUUGAUGAGAUUCGUGAGUGAUCGAAAAUUGGUGAAGACUCGAGUGGGUGUUGAAACAGGAGCUCGUCGGAGGUUAUAUGAAGGGAUAAGUUCCUGUUUGGCAGCUGCAUCAUAUAGACUUAUGUGCCUUCCAAAUAAUACGGCAACUUCCAUUGUUGAAAGCCAAAUAAUAAGCAAACUUUUAAUUACGCCUGAUUUUCAGCAUCGGAUGGUACCUAAGGCAGAUGGAAGGUGCCCAUAUCAUUCCAUCCGUGCAUGUCUAUAUUAUUCAUUUCCUAGUAUAAAAUAUUUUGAGCUGCGGACGGAUCAUAUCUUGCACGCUGCCACAACCUGGAUCGCCGGCGCAUUGUUUCCAAUGAUGGGCUCCAUCGCUGAUCGAUACGCGUGAGUGAUCGUUCACUGAGGUGUCUUGGCAAUUAGGAUGUCGAUGCAGCAUAUAUAUAAACGGAUAUAUUAUUAAUGAUUUUUAUUGCCUGCCAAAUAUAUCAAGUCAUUUUUAAGACGUAGAUGGUUCUUUCUAAUUAUAAAAACAUGUGACGGGGGUGUAUCAGAUCUUUCUCCCUUUUUAUAGUUGAAUAUUUUGUUCCUAAGGCAUGCCAUAUUUACAGUUCAAUCUCAACGAAUCAGAAAAAAUCAACCUUUGUAUAAAACCAGAUAUCCCGAAUUAAGUACGCGUACAAUAAAUACAUACUGCCAUAAUGGCUACACUUAGAGUUGACAAGCAAAAAGAAAACACACUUUAACAGAAAUGAUUGUUCUGUGUGAAUACAUUAUUAUUCCAAAUGUAGAUAAAAGGACCGAGGGAAACGAGCUUUUUAUUCAGCCGUGUUGAAAAACAAAGUCAUCUACUGUCCAUUUUUCCUGGCUACAACUGCAGCAUUGACGUAUGAUAGUGUUUCGUCAAGUGUCAUUAAGAAGGCUUCGUGGAUAUCUACGAAAAAACAAUUUGUUAGUACUAAUAACAUCGUAAUACAGAAAAGAACAAAAAGCCAUAAAAUCGAAAUAGUUUAUAGAAGUUACCUUGAAGAUGAUGAACAUCUUCAUUAAUGUCGGGGGAGAACAAGAAUGUGCUCUCCCUCAUAGUCUCCACGCACUUAUCCCUCCGGUUUACCUGUAUGUACGUAACUGCAAUUUUCUCGAACAAAUUUUCAGUGCGCUGCAAGUGGUACAAGUGACGACCAGCAUGCUCUUGACUUAGGCGUAUAAAAAGUAUCUCCCGUCUGCAAUGAUAAAGAUAUGUUAAUGGUAGGCAACUAUCAAAUAUUAAUAAUCAUAUAAAACCUCAAGUACUGAUUGGAGUUUACCGAAAAUUCAUGAUGUCUAUCUCAACAAAAUGGACCUGCCAUCUAUAUACUGAAUCCCACCUAUGUUGUAUCCUACCAGCAUAGACAAGAAUACCAAGAACAUCUGGAAAAAAUUAAGUCUGGGUGAGACAAAAUGUUAAAUCGAUAAAUAUGCAAAAACAAAGUAAAAGAUGUUGCACCGGUAAUGGUUUUGUCUCGUAGCAAGGAUAUGGCACCAAGUUGUGGGAAAAAAGGUGGACAGAUUGUUGAUGCAAUAUUGUGCACCGAUGUCCUAACCAUGGUUAUAGCAUUUAGUUCAAUGACAAACUCCAUGCAUAGAUACCAGAAGUGACCAUCUAGCAUUUCCCUGGGGUUUAUCCCGAUGUUACUGAAGUCAUAUGUUACCCCGGUCUGCAGAAUGACGUUGAAUCGAUAAGCUUGGUUGCUGAAGGCAAUUGCUUCAAUCUUUGUUCCCUAGAAAUUUUAAAAAAUUAAGAUAACAAGACUUUAGAACACAUGCGUAUAUACAUUAAAAAAGAUUGCUAUAUUUAGUGAUCACUAAUCUCAUACUUCCUGGUCCAGAAGUAUGCAACAAAAGUAUGGGUUUCCCAUUGCAUGCACCCUGAUAUGGGACUUCCACAUCACCUUAGCCCGAAUGAUCCAACAUCUUUGAUAGAUAUGUUCCAUCUGUACACUUUGAAGAUUCAGGUACCUACAUAAAAUAACCCGAAAUGAUGGGAUAAACAAACGGUGAUGUCAGAUAGGCGUGCAUGAAGAUCUGUACACUUGCCUGUUCAUCGGAGGGAUGGUAGGGCAGAGGCAUGAUGGGAUCCGGUGGAUUCGCUAUCACCCUCCUCGAGGGCCUCGAGCUGUACGAUAUCACCAUGGUCAGGGAGCUAAUGGAUGAAGUGUUAAAGAAAGAUAGAGGGGCGCAUGGGCACGGGUAGUGGCAUUUAUAUAUAUAGUCCAAGGGGCCCACAGGCGGGAAAAUCAAAAUUCUUUCAAUAUUUGCAUGUGGCCGUCUAGCGAAAAAAAACCUCUACUAUCGAAACUAUUAUAAAUAGUAAGUUAUGAGAGUUCUUUGGCAACAAAAAAUUUAUUGCUAAAACUUAUUGAAUCAAUUAAUUAUUUAUAGAUAUUUGAGAUUCUUAAUCUGAUCGAAAUCAUGUCAACUAUCUCACCAGUAUCAUUGUUUCCUUUUCGCUUGUGAAUACGCUAUAUUCAAUAUAACAAACUGCGGGAAUAUAAUGAUGACUUCAGAUUUUUAGUUAGGAACGCAAUAAUUGGAUAUAUCAAAAUAAUUAAGGUGAUAGUGCGUUAAGGUAAGUGUAGUCACACAAUUAAUAUAUUACCAUUAAUUACCAUUAAUUAGCAACAUGCUGCAAUUUCAAAAAUAGAUUAUUUACUCAGCUUUUAUAAUACUAUAUGUUAUUUUAUAAAAUCCCAACAUAUUUGAUUUCAUUACAUGUGAUGAGACGUCGUUGUGUUACUUUGCAACGACUAUUUUACGGGCAUUUUAAAAUAGUAACCAAAAAUUAAAUUGAAGUUAUUAGCAAUAGUAAUAAUUUGUUUAGUGGGUCUUUGAUGGCUUGAUUCAUUGGUCGCGGUUGCAUGCACAAUUGAGUAAGCGCGUGAGAAGCUAACUUCGAUCUGUUUUUUAAUUGGCGUUUCUUUUUUAAUUUGAUUAUGUAUGCACAGUGUAGUAACAGCCGCACUUUCAAAACCAGCAUGCUUAAUUGAGAAGCCUGUGCAUUUUGUGACGUAAGUUAGUUAAUAUAGCACAAACGCAGUCAAUGCCAUUUGUAAUAAAAAGAAAAUUUCGAGGGAGGUACAGAUUACAGCAUUUGUACCACGUAUUUCAUGUAAGAAAAAGAAAAUUAUAGCAUGUUAGGCGACAAAGCUCAAAGGGAAGAUAAAAAAUAGAGAGUAAGAAAGGAAGCAUUAAACAAUAUAUGUUCUUUAUUCAUACUUUCAUAGUUUGACUCCAAAUCGAUUACAAUGCAAAAUGCUCUUAAGGAGCGUUGAAACAUAAAACAUAAAAAGCUGUAAAGAAUAUUGUAUAACUCCUCAUGAUUGCUCCUUUCAAGGCAUUUCCGUCUUCCUGUCGCAUGCUUGCAUGUGCUUCACAAACAUAUGUUCCAACUGAUUGAUCUUCUUUAUGAGAGUUUGCAUCAGCUUAUUGCUCUCCUUGGUUGGCUGCAGAAUUUGAUCGUUUCUAGUACCCCAACCGUCCCCCAAACCUUCUUCCCUAUCGUCUUUCGUAAUGGGAUAUGUACUACUAAUAGGCAGGUUAAUAGGCUCGACGUGAUUAUGCAUCCUAAGCCUUUUUCGCUUUGGUGUGUUACCCUUACCAAAGGGACACAUCAGCGUAGUGCCGUCAUGAUCUUCCAGUACACCGAGAUCUUCACUUUCUUCUUCCUGCCAACGAAUAUCCUCGACAGCAUCAUCGCUGAAGCAAAUUGAACUGUUGGAUGACGCCAUGUGAGAGGAGGAUGGAGUGUCAAUAUAUCGUUUAACUUGUUCAAGAGAGGUCUGGUAAGGUAGCUGGAACGGUUGAUCAAUAUAUAAGCGUUUCUAGGAAGCUCUGAAUACGAAAUCGGUAAACAAAUCGACCAAUUUGGUCACAAUCAAAUAUUAAUUAAUGGGAUCAAUUUUGUGAUUCGGUGAAUAGAACCUACCAUAUGAUUACAAGACAAAAAAGAUAACCUGUCUUAAGAUUUCAUGUGUGAUAAACCGAUUACGAAUGUUUUUAAAAGGAAGCAAAUAAAAUAGUUAACAUGCACGUAUUGUACAUUUUUCAAAAACACUUCUAAAAUUUCCUUAUACAUGGGAUUUUGUUAAAACUAUGUUGAAACCUGUUUUCUCAAAUGCAUUAACACUUCAUUCAAGUUUGUGCCAGCUCUUACAUUUACUUCAAUUUCCUUAUUCAAAGAGGAAUGAGAACAUCAAAAAAAUAAACAUGAAUUAGGGAAAUAAAUAAAAAGAAACCUUGAUAGCUACAGCUGUACAUGAAAAAUAUACAACAUUUAAAACUGGGUGGAACCAAAGAAAUAUUACACACUCAUACACACUCAUAAAGCUCAAGGCAGUAGGCCAACAUGUAAGAUUUUAGCCAUUUAAUGAGCAUGUAAAUAAAUGUAUCACACACACUGAAAUUCAAUGUAUCAAAUAUAACCUGCAUGCUAAAUGAUGACAUGACAUGCAUGCUACAGGUUUUAAUCAAACUAUACAAAGUAAAUGUAACAUGUAGCGGCUCUAUAUGAAGCCAAACAUUAUUUCGGAAUCUCAGAUUACAAAUAACACGGUACACUGUGUGACAUGUACAUUGCCAGAAACAUUGUGAUAGUGGAAAGCAAAUAACAGUGAUAAAGGUAAAAAAUUAAUUAAACAUGAUGCAGAUCUUCAUGAAGCCAAUCAUUAUUUCUGAUUCUAGUAUUACGCAUAACACAGUACGCUGUGUGACAUGUACAAUGUCAGAUUACACAUAACACAGUAUAAAUUUAUUGAAAUGCAGUUAUUACUUGAACUAAUUGGUGUAUACCUCUAACAACCAAGACUCCAAAUGAAAAAAUAUGUCAUAGAACCGAAUUACAGCAAUUCUUGACCAUCGGAAGAGUAAAUUGCAUAUAUAAAUCCAGCAGGUCUUAUAAGACCAGACUUCAGCCUGUAAGUACUUCCUUGUAGACGAUGUUCUUCAUUGAGGUCAGCAAGGACACGGUCGGUCUUUUACGCUUCUUCGGGUUGUUAUGUUGCUUGUUGGCCUUAUCCUUUGGCUUCUCCUUCUGAAUAAGUAUUUUAAUGUUUCUCUUCGCGGUGGCUCGAGACAAAGCAACAUAGAGUUGACCAUGAGAGAACACUGGAUUAGGUAGAUACACACCAACAAUGGGGAUGGUCUGCCCUUGAGCCUUGUUAAUCGUCAUAGCAAAGCUAAGCCUUAUAGGAAAUUGCUUCCUCUUAAACUUGAAAGGAAACAUGUCGUUGUCAGAUGGGCAUAGAGGUAUUCGAGGAAGGAAGACCCUCCUACCAUCGUGUUGUCCAAUCAUGAUUUCUGCAUCAAUGGUGUUCCUCUCAAAACUUCUAACAACAAGCCUAGUCCCGUUACACAGACCAUUAGCUGGAUCAAUGUUCCUUAUAAGUAUCACAUGGCAGUUCAGCUUUAGUUUGAGUGCAUGCGGAGGAAGACCAUUGGGAGUCAAUCCGUUUAGAAACUCAGGAGCGUAGUAGCCAUAUGGGUCGUCCUCCGCACUAUCAAAGCUAUGGUAGAUUACUUCAUCUCCUUGGAAACGCUCUAUCAUGCGGAUGUUUAUAUUGUCGACGUUGUCAUUUGUCGUGGAAAGGAUUGCGUGAGAUGUCAUGUAACUCGAAUUUGCCAUGUUGUCAUCUAGACUUGGAAACACGUGGUCAAUCAGAUUCUCCAGGUCGUCAACCUCGCUUGUAGAUGGCAGACAAAUAUCAUCAGGGAGUAGUAUGUUGCCUUGGUCGUCGGCUUCCUCAGUGCCAUUACCGACCCUGAGCAAGUAAUCUGCAAACCACGUGUCAUUACCAGCCCUCAUGUUGGUGAUGAGCCGAAGCUGCCGCAUACUCUUCCAAAGAUGAGAACUUCGGAGGCUUGCAUCAAUUAUCUGGCCCUGUGACCCCCUUCUGACAACCGGAAGCACCUGCCUAAAGUCCCCGCCAAAAACAACAGUCUUUCCUCCAAAGGGUCGGUCGCGUAUUCCCAUGAUGUCGCGCAUGCUAUUGUCUAAUGCCUCAACCGCUUGUCGCUUAGUCAUGCUGGCCUCAUCCCAUAGUAUCAAUGAGGCCAUCCUUAGCAGCUUGGCAGUCCCACUCAGCUUGGUGAAGCUGCACGACGCUCCAUCAUCGCAACUCAGUGGGAUUUUGAACCUUGAGUGGGCAGUCCUGCCGCCAGGCAUGAUAGAAGCAGCGACACCCGACGUCGCGGUAGCGAUAGCAAUCUUGCCCUCGUGCCUCACCUUGGCGAGCAUCGCCCUAUAGAGGAAGGUCUUCCCCGUACCUCCAGGGCCAUCAAUAAAGAAUAUACCCCCAUCACCGCGUUGAACAGCCGCUAGUAUUUCGUCGUAUGCAGCCCUUUGCUCAAAAUUCAGGGAAGAUGACAAUUUAGUGUCACUUUCGUUAAACUCAAUAGUUGAUUCCUUGAUGAUCUCUCUGGCCUCGCCCUCGGUUGGGUCAAACGCAUCAUCGAUCGUUGGAAGAGCAAAAUCAAUAAUGUCUUUACCCAUAGACUGCAACAUACCCCUAAUGUCAAGCAACACCAUCUGCUCCACCUCGUUCGGGGACGUGCGUGUCCGACAUAGUCAUCGGACAUAGGCUUGAGGUGUCUAUCCCAUAAACCGCGCAUGUCGCCUGGCUUGCAGUGCACCAAUAUUGUUGCAAAGAGCCUCCUAAGAGAACAUGGCAUAGCCCACUGCUCCGCCUCAGUAAGACAGUCGUCGAGCGUGUUGUCUGCCUCGAUGAGUCCCAACCUUUCAUCGGCCUCUCUAAAGCUCCCACAUACCACGCCGUCGACGGUGAGCAAGUCCUCAAAUGAUGUUUUCCCCGGAACAUGGUUCAACAACACACGAAGGUAGUAUCGCUCCCCCUUGGCAGGAUUGGCAGACACGAUACGACCUAUUUGAAAACGCUCCACCCGCCUCUUCCAGAACUUCUUUUUCUUCUCCCACGUGAAGCUUCUGAGGAAAUCCUUGUACAAUAUAUGCCUUGCCCAAGGGUGUUUUUCGUUUGCCUUGAAAUACUCCGUUAACAUGGAUUUUGAAGCAUUCUCGGAGGAUACAACAUUCUUCAAGUCAGCCUGUGCAUUGAAUGCAACCAUGUGCAUAUUCAGGAGAUGAAGAGGAAACUGCAAGACAGGCGGGUAAUUGGCACAUAGUGGGAAACCAAAUAUCCUCCACAUAGCCUCCGGAGGGGUGACCCAUCUUGCGUCAACGUAUCUCUUGAUCUCAUCAAUGUUACCAUCAGCGUCUGGCUGGUCAAUGCUGAAAGAAGCCUUAUCAUGGCCCUUAUAAAUGUACUUAUAAAUGUAUUUUAUAGCCUUUAUGCUAGAGCAGACCUCGACGUUGAUGUGGCAAUUAAACAUCUGCAGAAAGUAAGGGUUAUAUGGCACAACCCAUCGGUUGUCCAACAUUUUCCCUCGAACCUUAGCGCGUCUACCAUCGUCUCUACGACGAUAAACUGGGUAUGAGUCCUUUCCUUGUAUCGUGUUAUCAUUGAACGGCCGCGGGUAUCUGCACUUGCAUUCAUUAUCUUGCAUGCAAACAUUCUUCGGGUUGAGAGCACCGCAUGGUCCGUGCAUCAUAUGUUUUACCACCAUUGCAUACAAUUCAGGAUACUUCUGCUUGUCUGGGAGCUCUGCGGAAAUGAGUCGGUCAUACUGCUUUGGGACAAGAAGCUUAUAAUUUGAAUCCAUGAUCAACAAAAAAUGUGCGUGGGGGAGGCCUCUCUUCUGGAACUCGACUACGUAAACAUAAGCAACAACAACACCCAGGACCAUCUUCUUGAGCAACAUAUCUUUCAUAGCCUCCAGUUUGCCAUAGAACACGCGAGCCACAAUAUCAGGUCGGUCUUGCGCCGUCUGUCUGGGAAGCAACUCAUUUGUUAUAUCUUCCCAUUUAGGGUUGCAAGUCAUGGUCAAGAAGAUGUCAGGCUUCCCGUAUGUAUGGACAAUUGCCAUGGCAUCCAUAUGUCUCUUCUUCAUGUCGCGGUCGCCACCAGGGUAAGUUCCAGGGAGAACUAUUCUCACUCCAACAGCGCUUGCUCGUGUCUCCCCCGAUGUUAUCGCAUCAACAACUCCUUUAUACAAAUCGGCACGGAUCUGUGUCUGGUUCUUCCUGUACCACCUCAACCGACAGCUCUCAAUCUUGAUGUACAUGUCAACCGCCCAUUUGCUGCAGUAGGCAUGCUCCACAGAGUAUUGGAUCGAAGAUCACAUGCCUUGUUUGCAGCAUGUAACAGUAGUAGUCUCUAACGGAGACGCAUAACCUGCUAUUCCCCUCUGCACACAUUUGAUUCAGAUCGCGUGAGCAUUAUUUUUAAAAACAAGAAAUUAUUUGAAACAAAGUGGGACACAAAAUGACAUACCUGCAUCAUCCUCAUCAUCAUGACACAAACGAGGAUUUUGUACAACCUCCCAAUGAACAUUAUGUUUGGGUAGCUUCGGAUGCCAACCUAGCUCCCCCAUUGGAUAGAAUAAUGGAUAAGACAAUGGGUCGUAUGCCCCUGAGGUCACACGUAUACUAUGCCUUUUGUUGUUGUUACCACAAAGUGUUAUCCUGCGGUCAAACCUUUUUGCUAGGUCAGUGCCCUCAACCCAAAUUGCAGCGACCUCAGAUGACACCGGUCUAUUAUAUCUUGUUUGGUCAAGCCUCUUAUCGGUGUUUAGGUCUAUCCUAUAAUCAUCGAGGUUGUCCUUGUGUGCACCCAAACUCCUAAAUUGCUGGGAGUAUGGGUUUUCUUUGAGUAUGUCUACUAACCUCUUCACGACAUCCUGGUCUAAUUGCUUGGUGGCCGCCUUACGAUGAUCUAGGUUAGGGUGGUCGUCAUAGAUGUUCUGGAUGUGAGCUAGGCCCGAACGAAUGGACAUUGUGGUAGAUGGUGCUGUGAGCUCGGAAUGUGUACACCCCAGACCUCAUGUUUGUAUAGUUUUCAUCAAGGCUGACACCAAGGGUUGUGAAGGCGAAAUGCCCGUUGAAGAACCUUAUGUUCUCCCGAAAAUGUCUAGAAUCUGCAUCCAUGCUGGACCAUAGCCUCAUAAGCUCCGGGAUUGGUUCCGGUUGCUUAAGAUGGAUCUGGCCAUUGCGACAGCAGAAGCCGUCAGUCUCAGACUCAAACUUCCUGGCCUUACAGUGUUUGCAAUUUUCGUCGAGUUUCAGGACGUGAGUGCUGUCUGGAAUGUUUGAGUAGACAGUGUCAAAUGGAUCAAUCUCGCUAAGUUUAUCGGUAGACUUGCUCGCUUCCUCAUCAUCAUCCAAUAUGUCAUUAUCGGGUCCUACGGGGAUUUGUUGAAAAAUCACAUACAAUUCACUAACAACAAAUAAAUGAGACAACAAUAGAGCUCCAAAGUGUCAUAGUGUAGGGUUUGCAAUACCUUCAUUGCAAAACAUGUAGUACUCCUCAUCAAUCAAUUCAUGUGCUUCCUGCUCAUGGCGCAUGGUGGCGCUUUGGAAAACAUCGAUGUCUUCUGGAUUGUCGUCGUACAGAAAGCGACAACAGACACAAUCAUGUUAGAACGACAUGCUGAGAAUGAGCAUAAGAAACUGACAAUCGCAAAUUCAUACCAUUGGCACCGACAGAGUAUCUCGGCAUGUUCGUCCCCGGAUCACCAUCAGAUGAAUCAUCUUUUGUGGCCCGCGAGACGGGUGAUGCGCGGCUUGGGCAUGUGGGACAUUCAGAGUCUGAGUUUGCUAGGUCUGUAAGGGGGAUUGCGAUGCAUUCUUUGCACGGUGUUUUUUUCCUUCGGUCAUAAUUGGCCUUCCUCUGUGCAGUUGACUCCCCCUUCUCAUUCACCGACAUGCUUUUGCGGCGUUGCACGCUCCUCUCGCAUCUUUUUUCGUUCAUUGUUUCUCUGACCUCCACCUUAAUUCGUCACUUCUCUUCUGAUGGCAUGCUCUGCUCCUUGAGUUUUUCACCUCCCUUUGAUCAUUUGUUAAAUUACAUUUCUGCUCAUUGUCAGUUUGCCUCCUAGCUAGAAUAGUGUCCUGAAUGACAGACCCGUGUAAAGUUGAAGGUGGACAUGUUGCUCCCUCUUUCAUUAAUUUUGUAACGCUAGGGCUAUUUCGGUCGUCUGGAUCAAAAAUAAGUUCAAAUCAUAUUUAGAACAUUUUGAUUUCUCGGCUUUGGAGGAGUCACAUCUAGAAUAUCAGGGCCUGCCAUAGAAAUGGAUAUUGAACGUAAGCGCAUACCUGAAGUACCAGAUGCAUGUUUGUAAUGAUCUUGGAUACGCUUAUCCUUGUUCCUCCAAUAAGCAGCUCGCCGCAGGGCGUUUCUAUGGUCUCUCUUGCGUUCUUCUUCUGGUUUUUCCUCUGUUUCUUGUAUGUCAUUCAAGAUCCCAUCUGGAGCCAUUACAAACAUUCCCGAAAAAAAAUCAUGGAACUAAGAUGCAAGAAUUUCUAUUAUAGGGGAACAAAAUUAGAAUACCUUGUAGCUCUAUGUCAUUAACGAUCCCAGUCGAGACCUCCGUUGUAUCAGGAAAUGCUGACGCAUCAUCCGAGAAUGAUGUAUAGUUAGAGCUAGUGGGGUUACCUUCCAUACAAAAGUUGUCCAGACAUAUUAUUGCGUAUUUAUUAAAACGGUCCUUACCAUAAUGGUUAAAUCAUUAAAAGCUUACCUGAUAAAUGAAGGGUCUGUGCAUGUUCAACUUGUACGUUAUAUUGUUUCUUCCGCCGAUAGGAAGCCCUCCUCAGGGCGUUAUGGUCUCUCUUGCGUUCUUCUUCCGUUUUAAGCUCUAUUUCUGGGGUGUCUUUCAAGAUUACAUUCCCGAAAAUUACAGAAUAAAACAGAUACGCCCACGAAAUUGGUGGAUGAGUAGGCACAAUAUGAUUACCUUGAUGCUCGUUGUCAUAUAUGAAUCCAGAUGAGACCGUAUUUGAACACGGAAAUGUCUCUGAGCUGGUUGGGUUGUCUGCUGAACCAGAUUUGACCAAACAUAUUUAUGCGAAGUGGUUAAGACAAUACCGACUAUAAUGUUCAAAAGAUUUUAAACCAUACCUGUUAAAACAAGGGUCUGUGCAAUUUCAUCUCGGACAUUAGGUUGUUUUUUCCGCCGAUAUGAAGCCCUUCUCGGUGUGUUUCUAUGGUCUCUCUUGCAUUCUUCUUCCGUUCUAUGCUCUGUUUCUUGGGUGUAAUUCUGGAUUCCAUUUGCAUCUGAUGUCAUUAAGUGCAAACACAGUAAUUAGAGAAUAGAACAGAAACAUGUCAGUAAUUUGUUGAAUGAGUAGGCAAAAUAUAAUUACCUCGAAUUUCAUUUUCAUUAAUGAGACCAGAUGUGGACGUAGUUGUAAUAGAAAAUGUUGACACAUCAUGCGAGAAUGCUGUAUAGUUAGAGCUAGCUGGGUUGUCUGGUGAACAAAAUUUGUCUAAACACAUGUCAGCUAAAUGGAUUUGACAUACCGAAUAUCAUGGUUACUACUCUUUAAGCUUACCUGAUGAAUGAAGGGCAAGUGCAUUUUCAUCUUGCACAUAGGUUGUUUUUCCCGCAUACAGGAAGCACUUUCCAGUGCACUUGUUUGGUCUAUUUUGCAAUAAUAUUCUUGAAUUCGCGUAAUUUCUAUGAUGAAAUUAAAGUCACAUAAUGAUGACAUUCAUGUAGUUAUCUUUAAAUCGAAAUGAGAAAACACAACUUGACAGAAUAUCUCCAAAGGAUAAACCACAACCAUGGAGAUGGUGAGAUCAUAUUACCUUCUUUAUCUCCAACACAAAGGACAUCCGAUGUGACCAUCGCAGUAUCCGGGUAUGAUUUAUCGUUAGGCGAGACUAAUGUGUAGUCCGAGCUAGCUGAAUUAUAUGAUUCAACAAGCUUGGUCAGUACUUAUUUAAAUUACGUAAUAAGUGUCUAACUUCAUGCGACCAAAACACAUACGGGACGUGGAUCAAUUUACUAACCAUGAAAAUCUCGUGUGGAUUUAGUUCUCUCCCUAUCUUCGAGAACAUUUGUGAUAUCACAUAGAGACUGGCGAUGGGCAGACUUCCCAUUGACUUGUUGGUUACCCAAACCAUCUACAUGUUAUUGCCAUAAACAGCCCGCCUACAAGCGUUGAUAAGAUCCCUAUGAUCUAAUAAGCAACACAGAAUGAGCAUCAUAUAAUCUCUUACCAGGGAUAUAAGCACAAUAUUAUCUACUAAGCAACAUACGUAUGCACUACAAACUAAGAGUAUCCAUCAACCAUACCAGAUUUUGCAAGUACCGGCUGAUUCUCAUUUUGAAAGCUGAUAAUAUCCUCGUUUCGAUUAAUCCGAUAAGCUGCACAUUUCCUUGCAUUGUACUGCUCCCUUGCAUUUUCCGCAUAAUUUUUGCAUUCAUUAUUUAAUGAUACAGUUUCAUGCUGUUCGGAAGCUGUGUCGUCUGAAUUUAUAAAUACAAAUAAAAAAGCAAAUAAAACGACGGUUGGGAAGGUGGAUAUCAUGCCUAUGGAUACCUUUUGUAUUAUCUCGUAGCUGCAUCUUAUGAAUAGCAUGAUCGAGUGUUAGGUUAGCCGUAGCUGCAAAUGUUUGACCAUCAUCAUGGUACCCAGGUCUUACCCAUUCCGAUCCAUCUGAAGAGUUUAGUAAGCAUGAAUACAAAUUCAAAUAUUUGACUGGUAUGCACGCAAUCAAUCAUGUACCUGUCUUCGUCGUGUAAAAAGGAUCAACAUUUGCAGCUAUGGUUAUGAUGCUUGGAUUACCAUCUUUCAGUUUUGUACCGCUCGUAGGUGCUACAAGACAUUAAGCAUGGUACAAGUCAUUGUUAGACUUGCACAUCAGGCAUCACAUCACAGUAUUUUUCACACUUUAUAUACCGAGUUCAGUUGUGCAAAUAGUUUGUACUUGUUCAUCAACGGGCAUCAAGGUUGCAUUGUAUUCUUCAUCAUUUUUACGCUCGUCUGAUCUGCAACACAUUAUGCAAAAAGCUUAAUUUUAGCAGAAAUGCAAGUAUUCCUAGUACAGUGAACACUACCUGUAGCUACGUCGUCUUCUUGUUGAUGUUCACCGGCUUUGCUUUUUGCAUUACCCAUUCGCAAAUGAAAUGACCGCUACCUCCGAUGUUUCUGUGCCUGUGGUGUUUUUGAGGCCUGGGAGAAACAUAAAAGCUACAAUCAUCGAAUGGAUAUAAUAGAUGCAAGAUGAAAGCAAGAGAGAUGGCGAACUUGAAGGCAUGAAUAAGAAGGUACUUUAAUUCAAAGCAUUCACAGCUUACCAUUGAGUUCCUCGACUUUAUUCUAUCUUGAACUUUAAGCACAACUUGCUUAUGCACAUUCUCAUAGUUUUUCAUUUAAAACAAUUCAAUUAUGAUAAUCUAAACACAUAUCACAUUCAGCAAAAGGCACAUGUUGAUGAUAAACCAACACCAAUUCAAUUAUGCAUAGUUUUGAGCGUCAUAUCAGAUAAAUGAUAUCCUUUUCAUUUCCAUAGUUCUGAGCGAAUGUGUAAUGGUUAUUCAAUGAUCACCAGUCUUUUCAUUCCUUGCAAUGCCAAUUGGUGCUGGUUUUCGUUCUUACCGGUCCUUUCUUAAAUUACGUAGUAAUGCAUCUUGGUCAGGCCAGCCCUCCACCUUUUGUGUAAGGAUCAUGGUGCUCACACUGGUCACCGGUUCAUGGUGGGGAUAUUUUGUGGCCAGGCCACGAUAUCGAUUCCGGCUACGGCAAAGUAUCCACUACAAACUGAGGUAUUUCCUUACAUUGCGUCCCCAAGACCAACGCAUAUCAUAAAAAUCAAAGGCUAAAAUUCAUGCUAUAGAUGUAAACUGCUUUAAUUGAUGAUCCUUAGAUGUAAAUGCACCAACAAGGUGAUAGUACAAUUUUGAAUUACGCAACCGAAUUAGGUGAACAAUCUUGAAGAUUAGGGUUUGAGAACGAUAACAUAAUAUGAACCUUAAUCACGAAGAAAAACAUGAAUUUUUUUUAUGUUUUGAACAAGCAGAUAAAUUUCUUAGAUAAAAAUGGUUCUGAUUCUGUACUCUAACCUCACAAACAAGUUAAUCAAGAUAUAUGUGAUGAUCAUUGCCAUAAUACUUGUUGUACUAUUUGAUGCAAAUAAGAUUUCCUAGGCAACAGCUAGGCAACAGGUAUAGUAACACAGUUGUUGUAUGGUGGUUUCUCAUUGUAACAAUAUGUUGGUUUAUGCACCUUCUCAUCUGCAGGGUGACAUGAUAGCUAUUCUCUCCGAUUCGUGACCUGCAGUCUUGUCAUAGUAAAACGAUUUGUGGCUGCCAAGUAUUUUCGAUGGUGUGUGUAUGUGAUGGCUGUGUGUAUGAAACCAUGUAGAAUUAUCUGUUCUGUAUGCGAUGGAUGUAAAUUUCAGAUCUGUUCCGUACGUAGAUGUCAUGGUUUUUGUGUAUGAAAUACGGUGGCGGAUCUAUGAUACCUGGAGGGCGUGUAUCUGGCGGCGGAUCUUGUACGCCGCCGGCGCCACAUCCUGGACCUGUCCAGCGACAGGUCCUAAGGGGGAUCCGCGCCGGAUCCUCGAAGCGACCAGCGGCGGAGCAAUGGAGUCCGACGGUUUUGAUGUGCGAUGAGCGCACAUGGAUGGCGGGGAAGGACCGAUGGGCGGCGGCGGGCGAAGGUGUAAUAUCCCAAAUUUUCAAUUUGGAAUGUUAUACAUUAGAUCAUCAUUCAUAUCAUAUUUUAUUUUGCAUUUUGGUUGAUCCUAGAAAUUCUACGCAACUCAAUGACCCACGGAGAGAGUUGGGGAUUUCGUUAUUUUCAUAUUUGAGUUUUCUCAAAUUUUGAGAAUAUGAUCAUUUGAUUUUAUUUAUUUUAUCAUCAAUUAUUUCUAUUACAAAAAUAUGAGAGAGGGAAUAAAAUGACUUUCCCAAAAUAAAGAAAUAUUGAGGAUUUAAUAAAAAAAUCAAAUAAGAUUUUAUUUCGAAGUUUUUCGGUGUUUUAUUUGAAUUUAGGAAAAAUGUGCAUUUUUCAAAAUUGCAUUUAGGGCCCAAAUAAAUGUUCACCUUGUGCGGCUUGAUUUUAGAAGCCCGUGAAAAUUUAUUUCAGAAUUUUCGGAGUCCGUUUAGUAUUUCUUUUUAUUUUUCUUCCGAGCGGAAUAAUUAAAAAAACCAACCGACUUCGGGCCGUACCCGAGCGGGACAUCGCCCGGGGGCAGCCUUUAAAUAGCGCCGCCCCGAUCCGCCCCAGCCGAUCAGCCCCGCCUCGAUCCACGCGUGCCGCCGGAGCCGCCGCCGCCGACGAUCUCGUCGCCCGAGGCUCGUCGAGCCUCGUUUUCCGUGCCGAAAAAAAGAGAAUUUUUUUUCGGCGUUCGUCGUUUUUCUUUUUCUCGGAUUAAAUCCGCGAUUUUUCUGAUCGCGAUUCCUGAUCCGAUUUUCGUUUUAGUUUAACUUUUCGCUCGUUUAUCAGAAUCAGGCGAUUCAAGCGCCUAGAGUUUCGUCUUGAAACCCUCUAUCCGUUUAACCAACUUAAACAAGUUUUUUCUACUGUAAAAUUUGCCCUAGAUCCAGAUUACUAGAACGAAGUUGUUUUCUUUCGCCGUUGGAUUUUCGUUGCUUCGUUCGAUUUGAUUCUUUUUGCCAACCGGAGUUCUUAAGUUGAAUCUUCUGGUUAGAUCUCUUAUUUGAGUUUUACAUGUGCAUUAGAUGAGUGCUUACUGUAUGCUUGUUUGUUUGUCUGCGAUAGAAUACCCGGAGUGCACCGCCUGUUACUUCGAAUCGUUAGGUUUCGCGGAUCAUCAGCAAGGCAAGUAACACUUUGAUCAUACCUUUUCUACUACCCAGUUUUAUUGCAUUAGAUCAAUCCUCACACAUUGCAUGAUUAGGAUCUAAUUAAAUUGUGGGAUGGGAAGUAGAUGAGGUAGUACCUAUUACCUGUUUAUUAUCAAACCUUUGGGAGUUACUUCUACGUUUGCUUAUUAUGCCAUGCUAUGCUAGUAGACGUGGAUUGGGUGAGUGAAAUCCAUGACAGAUGUGAGAUUGUUAAUUAAUGGUUUAUCUAAGGUGGCAACUUAAACACACAUCUGGGUGGAUUGAGGCACCUGGGUAUUCCAGGACUUGCCUGUUUUCUUUUGGACCGCCACCCAGGCUCAAAGGGAUCAUGAGACUAUUCAUACUAGAAACUUCCGUGUGCAGCCACAAGCUAUUAUGGGCUCUAGCAUAGUUGACUAAGUCAUGCGAACUCUUACAGUGGUAGACUAGCAGAUGUAGGGGAUGUAGGUGGUACGGUCUACCCGAUCGUAAGGUGCUAGCGCUUCUGAAAGACUAUGUCUCGGUCAUCCGUCUUCUCAAACACCAUGUAGUGCAAGAAACCAAGCGAAGGCGACCGAGUCUUGUGGGGAAAAGUGCGCAAACCUCUGCAGAGUGUAAUAAACUAAUCAUGGUUAGCCGUGUCCCCGGUUAUGGACAUCUUGAGUAUCUAGUACUUGGAUUUUCAUGUGAAUCUCAACAUGUUACUCUAAAUUAAUUUUGUUGGGUUAUGUUUAAUGAUGAUGCUUAAUUGGGAUUGAGGAUGCUGUCAACCAUUCUCAAUGUUUAACAACCACCAUGAUAGUAAUUAAAUUUUAUUCCUUUGAAGUAGGGAAAAUUGGCUUUACGCAAAACUGUAACCAUAGAGCUUUCCACCAGCCAAAUAUGCAUAUAGUAUAGCUAUUUCAUUCCAUUACUCUCUAUGUGUUACCUUGCCAGCAUAUUCCAUGUGCUGACCCAUUUCGGGCUGCAAUGUUAAUGUUGCAAACUUUUCAGAUGACGAUUAAGGAGUUUUUAGGUUGUGGUUCUAUACUCAGUGAUGCCAUUGGAGUUGAUGGACUCACUUAUCUUGCAAGCCUUCCGCUGUUAUCGUUAUUAGAUGGCCUUAAGCCAUAUUUAUUGUAAUAAGUUCUCUUUUGAGACACUCGAUGUAAUAAGUGUGUGAUUGCUACUCUGCUAUAAAUCCUCCGAGUACUGUGUGGUGUCAGCAUUACUGAUCCAGGGAUGACACCGGAGCACAGAGAUCAGACUGUUUGACGUCUGGUCGCUAUAGAAGAAGGGCACUGUCGUCGUCUGUUCCUCGCUAGAAGAACACGAGACCUCGCUCGAGGGCACGAUACCGCGAUCGAGUCCGCACAGUGUGCCGUUUUUUUCGCUGGUUAAUUUUCGCCGGUCUGUGGUCAAUGGUUUUUUUCGUUCAUCUCAGUUAAUAAGGACGGGAGUUUGUGCGUGUGCGGGACUGCAUCGCGGGGUUUUAUUUAGUUUUUCGCGGCCGAGAGGGUGGUGGGAAGAAGUACCAUAGAAGUACCAAAAAAGACUGGGUGAGGUGGGAUGAAAAUAAAACCCGGAACGCGACCUACCAACUGAGACAUUAGGAAUAGAGAUAAGGGAGAAGAUACAGUUACCUCAUCAAGUUCUACUUUCCUCCCACUCACUUCUUUCGAGAGAAACUCCUUCUCUAGAAAGGAUCCAUUCUUAGCAACGAAUAUCUUGCCUUCGGAUCUAUGAUAGAAGGUGUACCCAACUGUCUCCUUUGGGUAUCCUAUGAAGACACAUUUCUCCGAUUUGGGUUCGAGCUUAUCAGGUUGAAGCUUUUUCACAUAAGCAUCGCGGCCCCAAACUUUAAGAAAUGACAACUUGGGUUUCUUGCCAAACCACGGUUCAUAUGGUGUCGUCUCAACGGAUUUUGAUGGUGCCCUAUUUAAGGUGAAUGCAGCCGUCUCUAAAGCAUAACCCCAAAAUGACAGCGGUAAAUCAGUAAGAGACAUCAUAGAUCGCACCAUAUCUAAUAAAGUGCGGCUACGACAUUCGGACACACCAUUACGCUGUGGUGUUCCAGGUGGCGUGAGUUGCGAAACUAUUCCACAUUGUUUCAAAGGAAGACCAAACUCGUAACUCAAAUAUUCUCAUCCAUGAUCAGAUCAUAGAAACUUUAUUUUCUUGUUACGAUGAUUUUCCACUUCACUCUGAAAUUCUUUGAACUUUUCAAAUGUUUCAGACUUAUGUUUCAUUAAGUAGAUAUACCCAUGUCUGCUCAAAUCAUCUGUGAAGGUCAGAAAAUAACGAUACCCGCCAUGAGCAUCAACACACUCAUCAGAACGCAUACAUCAGUAUGUAUUAUUUCCAAUAAAUCUGUUGCUCGUUCCAUUGUUCCGGAGAACAGAGUUUUAGUCAUCUUGCCCAUGAGGCAUGGUUCGCAAGCAUCAAGUGAUUCAUAAUCAAGUGAUUCCAAAAGCCCAUCAGCAUGGAGUUUCUUCAUGCGCUUUACACCAAUAUGACCUAAACGGCAGUGCCACAAAUAAGUUGCACUAUCAUUAUUGAACUUAUAUAUUUUGGCUUCAAUACUAUGAAUAUGUGUAUCACUACUAUCAAGAUUUAGUAAAAAUAGGCCACUCAUCAAGGGUGCAGGACCAUAAAAGAUAUCACUCAUAUAAAUAGAACAACCAUUAUUCUCUGAUUUAAAUGAAUAACCGUCUCGCAUCAAACAAGAUCCAGAUAUAAUGUUCAUGUUUAACGCUGGCACCAAAUAACAAUUAUUCAGGUCUAAAACUAAUCUUGAAGGUAGAUGUAGAGGUAGCGCGCCGACGACGAUCACAUCAACUUUGGAACCAUUUCCCAUGCGCAUCGUCACCUCGUCCUUAGCCAAUCUUCACUUAAUCCGUAGCCCCUGUUUCGAGUUGCAAAUAUUAGCAACAGAACUAGUAUCAAAUACCCAGGCUCUACUGCGAGCAUUAGUAAGGUACACAUCAAUAACAUGUAUAUCAAAUAUACCUUUCACUUUGCCAUCCUUCUUAUCCGCCAAAUACUUGGGGCAGUUCCGCUUCCAGUGACCAGUCCCUUUGCAGUAGAAGCACUCAGUCUCAGGCUUAGGUCCAGACUUGGGCUUCUUCACUUGAGUAGCAACUUGCUUGCCGUUCUUCUUGAAGUUCCCCUUCUUCACUUUGCCCUUCUUCUUGAAACUGGUGGUGUUGUUAACCAUCAACGCUUGAUGCUCCUUCUUGAUUUCUACCUCCACAGCCUUUGGCAUCGCGAAGAGCUCGGGAAUUGUCUUAUCCAUCCCUUGCAUAUUAUAGUUCAUCAUGAAGCAUUGGUAGCUUGGUGGCAAUGAUUGAAGAACUCUGUCAAUGACACUAUCAACCAGAAGAUUAACUCCCAGGUGAGUCAAGCGAUUGUGGUACCUAGACAUUCUGAGUAUGUGUUCACUGACAGAACUAUUCUCCUCCAAUUUGCAGCUGUAGAAUUUAUUGGAGACUUCAUAUCUCUCAAUUCGGGCAUUUGCUUGAAAUAUUAGCUUCAACUCUUGGAACAUCUCAUAUGCUACAUGACGUUCAAAAUGUCGUCGAAGUCCCGGUUCUAAGCCAUAAAGCAUGGCACACUGAACUAUCAAGUAGUCAUCAGCUUUGCUCUACCAGGUGUUCAUAACAUCUGGAGUUGCAACUGCAGCGAGUUUGGCACCCAGCGGUGCUUCCAUGACGUAAUUCUUCUGUGUAGCAAUGAGGAUAAUCCUCAAGUUUUGGACCAAGUGCGUGUAGUUGCUACCAUCAUCUUUCAACUUAGCUUUAUCUAGGAACGCAUUAAAAUUCAAUGGAACAACAACACGGGCCAUUUAUCUACAAUAACAUAGACAUGCAAAAUACUAUCAGGUACUAAGUUCAUGAUAUUUUAAAGUUCAAUUAAUCAUAUUACUUAAGAACUCCCACUUAGAUAGACAUCCCUCUAAUCAUCUAAGUGAUCACGUGAUCCAUAUCAACUAAACCAUGUCCGAUCAUCACGUGAGAUGUAGUUUUCAAUGGUGAACAUCACUAUGUUGAUGAUAUCUACUAUAUGGUUCACGCUCGACCUUUCGGUCUCAAUGUUCCGAGGCCAUACCUGCAUAUGCUAGGCUCGUCAUGUUUAACCCGAGUAUUCUGCUUGUGCAAAACUGGCUUGCACCCAUUGUAUGUGAACGUAGAGCUUAUCACACUGAAAGGAUCGAGAAGAGGUGUCUAGGGGGGGGGGUGAAUAAACUCGAAGUAAGAAAAGUUGCAGUUUUUAACUUCUUUAGGUUUAAGUAGAGUUUUAGCACAAGUUUAAACAUUCACAAUACAUAUCAAGCAAGCAUGACAAGAGUAUAUGAGCAGCGGAAAGUAAAACAUGCAAGUUGCAAGAAUGUAAAGGGAUGGGAUUGGAGUGUGCAAACGCAAUUGGAGACACGGAGAUUUUUGGCGUGGUUCCGAUAGGUGGUGCUAUCGUACAUCCACGUUGAUGGAGACUUCAACCCACGAAGGGUAAUGGUUGCGCGAGUCCACGAAGGGCUCCACCCAUGAAGGGUCCACGAAGAAGCAAUCUUGUCUAUCCCACCAUGGUCGUCGCUUAUGCAGGACUUGCCUCACUCGGGUAGAUGUUCACGAAGUAGGCGAUCUCCUUGCCCUUACAAACUCCUUGGUUCAACUCCACAAUCUUGAUGGAGGCUCCCAAGUGACACCUAACUAAUCUAGGAGACACCACUCUCCAAGAGGUAACAAAUGGUGUGUUGAUGAUGAACUGCUUGCUCUUAUGCUUCAAAUGAUAGUCUCCCCAACACUCAACUCUCUCUCACAAGAUUUGGAUUUUGUGGAAAGAUGAUUUGAGUGGAAAGCAACUUGGGGAAGGCUAGAGAACAAGAUUUAUGUGGUUGGAAUGGAAUAUCUUGACCUCAACACAAGUGUAGGUGGUUCUCUCUCAGAAAAUGUAUGUUGUAAGUGUAGGCAUGUUCUGAUGGCUCUCUUCUCGAAUGAAGAGUGGGUGGAGGGGUAUAAAUAGCCUCCACACAAGAUCUAACUGUUACACACAAAUCACCAAACUCGGUGGGACCGAAUCAUGAAACUCGGUGGGACCGAUUUAGUUCGAAAUGUGACCGUUAGGCAUUUCGGUGGGACCGAUAUAAUCGACUCAAUGGGACCAAUGUGCUUGGUUUGUCCGAUUACACAAACUCGGUGGGACCGAUUUGGGUAAUAAGCAAAACAGAGAGUUGGCCAAGCAAACUCGGUGGGACCGAUUGCAUGUCUCCGUGGGACCGAAAUUAUUGCAAUAGGCAACAUAGAGUUUGCAGGCCCAUCUCGGUGAGACCGAGAUCCCAUCAGUGAGACCGAAUUGAUUAGGGUUUCUGGUAGUGGCUAUGUCAACUGAACUCGGUGGCACCGGAUAGAAAGUUUUGGUGGGGCGGAGUUUGACUUUUGGUUUGGGACAUAUGUGGAUAUGAGAAAGUGGUUGAGGGCUUUGGAGCAUAUCACUAAGCACUUUGAGCAAGCAAGCCAUUGAGCACACCUCAUCCCCUCUUAAUAGUAUUGGCUUUCCUAUGGAAUCAAGGUGAUCUUGGAUCACUAAAAUAAAAUGUAGAGUCCUGAGCUUUGAGCUUGAGCCAAUCCUUUGUCCUCAGCAUCUUGAAGGGGUUCCACAUCCUCUAGUCCAUGCCACUCCAUUGUUGAACUUAUCUGAAACAUACUAGGUAGAAGCAUUAGUCCAACAAGAGAUAUGUUGGCAUUAAUUACCAAAAUCACCUAGGGAGCACUUGUGCUUUCAUACACCCGAUCAUCACAUGGUGUCUCGGCACGACGAACUGUAGCAACGGUGCAUACUCAGGGAGAACACUUAUACCUUGAAAUUUAGUGAGAAAUCAUCUUAUAAUGCUACCGCUGUACUAAGCAAAAUAAGAUGCAUAAAGGAUAAACAUCACAUGCAAUCAAUAGAAGUGAUAUGAUAUGGCCAUCAUCAUCUUGUGCCUUUGAUCUCCAUCUCCAAAGUACGGUCAUGAUCACCAUCGUUACCGGCUUGACACCUUGAUCUCCAUCGUAGCAUCGUUGUCGUCUCGCCAACUAUUGCUUCUACGACUAUCGCUACCGCUUAGUGAUAAAGUAAAGCAAUUACACGGCGAUUGAAUUUCAUACAAUAAAGCGACAACCAUAUGGCUCUUGCCAGUUGCCGAUAACUAUGUUACAAAACAUGAUAAUCUCAUACAACAAUUUAUAUAAUCACGUCUUGACCAUAUCACAUCACAACAUGCCCUACAAAAACAAGUUAGACGUCCUCUACUUUGUUGUUGUAAGUUUACGUGGCUGCUACGGGCUUCUGGCAAGAACCGUUCUUACCUACGCAUCAAAACCACAACGUGGUAUAGUGAUUUCUUAUUGAUCUUCAGAAAGAACCCUGUUCAUUGAAUCCGAUUCAACUAGAGUUGGAGAAACUGACACCCGCUGGCCACCUGUGUGCAAAGCACGUCGGUAGAACCAGUCUCAUGAACGCGGUCAUGUAAUGUCGGUCUGGGCCGCUUCAUCCAACAAUACCGCCGAAUCAAGAAACAACUAGUGGCGGCAAGCAAUAUGUAUAUACCCACACCCACAACUCCUUUGUGUUCUACUCGUGCAUAUAACAUCUACGCAUAGACCUGACUCUGAUACCACUGUUGGGGAACUUAGUAUUUCAAAAAAAUUCCUACGAUCACGCAAGAUCUAUCUAGGAGAAGCAUAGCAACGAGCGGGGAGAGUGUGUCCACAUACCCUCGUAGACCGAAAGCGGAAGUGUUAAGUAACGCGGUUGAUGUAGUCGAACAUCUUCGCGAUCCAACCGAUCAAGUACCGAACGCACGACACCUCCGUGAUCUGCACACUUCAACUCACUGACGUCCCUCGAACUCUAGAUCCAGCUGAGGCUGAGGGAGAUUUUCGUCAGCACGAUGGCGCAUUGACGGUGAUGAUGAAGUUACCGACGCAGGGCUUCGCCUAAGCACUACGACAAUAUGACCGAGGUGGAAAUCUUUGGAAGGGGGCACCGCACACGGCUAAGAGAUCAACUUGUGUGUCUAUGGGGUGCCCCUCCCCUGUAUAUAAGGGAGUAGAGGAGGGAGCCGGCCGGUCUCAUAGGGUGCCCCCAAGGGGGGAAUCCUACUCCUACUAGGAGUAGGUUCCCCCCUUUCCUAGUCCAACUAGGAGGGGAAGGAAAGGGAAGAGGGGAAGAAGGAAUGGGGGUCGCCCCCCCUCCCUAAUUCGGAUUGGGCUUGGGGGGGGGGCGCCCCUCCUCUUGGCCGCCUCCUCCUCUCUUCCACUAAAGCCCAUGAAGGCCCAUUAACCCCCCGGGGAUUCUGGUAACCCCCCGAGACUCCGGAAAAUGCCUGAACUUAUCUGAAACCUUUCCGGUGUCCAAACAUAACCUUCCAAUAUAUCAAUCUUCAUGUCUCGACCAUUUCGAGACUCCUUGUCAUGUCCGUGAUCACAUACGGGACUCCGAACAACCUUAGGUACAUCCAAUCACAUAACUCACAAUACAUAUCGCCAUCGAACGUUAAGCGUGCGGACCCUACGGGUUCGAGAACUAUGUAGACAUGACGGAGACUUAUCUCUGGUCAAUAACCAAUAGCGGAACCUGGAUGCUCAUAUUGGUUCCUACAUAUUCUACGAAGAUCUUUAUCGGUCAAACCGCAUAACAACAUACGUUGUUCCCAUUGUCAUCGGUAUGUUGCCCGAGAUUUGUUCCUCGGUAUCAUCAUACAUAGUUCAAUCUCGUUACCGGCAAGUCUCUUUACUCGUUCCGUAAUGCAACAUCCUGCAACUAACUCAUUAGUCACAUUGCUUGCAAGGCUUAUAGUGAUGUGCAUUACCGAGAGGGCCCAGAGAUACCUCUCCGACAAUCGGAGUGACAAAUCCUAAUCUCGAUCUAUGCCAACUCAACAAACACCAUCGAAGACACAUGUAGAGCAUAUUUAUAUAAUCACCUAGUUACGUUGUGACGUUUGAUAGCACACAAAGUGUUCCUCCGGUAUUCGGGAGUUACAUAAUCUCAUAGUCAUAGGAACAUGUAUAAGUUAUGAAGAAAGCAAUAGCAAUAAACUAAACGAUCAUAGUGCUAAGCUAACGGAUGGGUCUUGUCAAUCACAUCAUUCUCUAAUGAUGUGAUCCCGUUCAUCAAAUGACAACUCAUGUAUAUGUCUAGGAAAUUUAACCAUCUUUGAUUAACGAGCUAGUCAAGUAGAGGCAUACUAGUGACACUCUGUUUGUCUAUGUAUUCACACAUGUACUAAGUUUCUGGUUAAUACAAUUCUAGCAUGAAUAAUAAACAUUUAUCAUGAUAUAAGGAAAUAUAAAUAACAACUUUAUUAUUGCCUCUAGGGCAUAUUUCCUUCACAAGUUGGCCAAACAAAACCCAAAUAUCAGAGAAGAUAUACGAGGCUAUAAGCAAUCAUGCAUAUAAGAGAUCAAAGAAACUCAAAUAACUUUCAUGGAUAUAAAAAGAUAGAUCUGAUCAUAAACUCAAAGUUCAUUGAUCCCAACAAACACACCAUAAAAAGAGUUACAUCAUAUGGAUCUCCAAGAGACCAUUGUAUUGAGAAUCAAGAGAGAGAGAGAGAUGAAGCCAUCUAGCUACUAACUACGGACCCGAAGGUCUACAAAGAACUACUCACGCAUCAUCGGAGAAGCACCAAUGGAGGUGGUGAACCCCAUCCGAGAUGGUGUCUAGAUUGGAUCUGGUGGUUCUGGACUCUACAGCGGCUGGAAGAAUAUUUCGUCGACUCCCCUAGGGUGCUGGGAUUUUUGGGGUAUUUAUGGAUUAAAGAUGAUGCCUCCUAUUUUUUCUAGAUUAUAAGAGUAUGGUAGCACCUGAUUUUAUUAUUAAGGAUAAUAAGAAGAUGCUUAAAUAUAGAUUGAUAUUUGAUAAAACUACUAUGAGAUUAUUACCUUGCCUGCUCCCUUUUUGUUUAAUAUAUUUUCAAGCACGUACCUUGUUUUGCCGGAGGCCGUUCAUGCAUACUAGAGCCGGAGCCACCACUUGAUCUUUACCAUCAGUCUGUUUAUCAGUGGGAUCCGGAGGAGAUCGCCAACUAGUGGCUCCCUGAGGACACUCCUCCGUACACCGGAGAGGGCGGCUUCGAGUCGUGCCCAUAGACCAACUUAGGCUAAAAGCCUAAGCUUGGGGGAGUACGUAUUUCUCACCGACAUUACAUUCAUGUCCACACAGUCAUUCCAAUUGUCGGUGCUCAUACCUUUUCAUUGUACUCCGUGGUAGUUUAUUUUCUGUUUUAAGUUUUCUUCUUGCAUGUUUGAAAAACCUUAAUAAAAACCAAAAAAAUUAGUUGUAGCUUUUAGCUAGUUUACUUCCUAUGCCUAUAGUAGUAAUAAUUAAAAGAAAACCCAAAAAGAUUUCUCGUUCUUCUUUUGCUUGUUGGGAGAUUUCCCAUGUAAAUAGUUUUAUUUCCUUUCUUUUCUUUGGGGGUUGAGAGGAGAAGACCAUGAUGAAAAUGUUGAGUGGCUCUCAUAUGCAUUAUUGUUGAUCUAAUCAAGAGCCCAUAUUACCUUGUCUUCUCCCUUAUAUUGAAUGCUUAUAGAUUCCAGCUUAGUCCAAUGCACGUGCACUGUUAUUAUUAUCCACACCGUUCGGUCAUGCAAGUGAAAGGCAAUAAUGACGAUAUAUGAUGGACUGAUUGAGAUGAGAGGAGCUGGUAUGAACUCGACCUAUCCUGUUUUUGUAAAUAUGAUUAGUUCAUCGUUCCUGAUUUAGCCUAUUAUGAAUGAAACAUGUUUGCAAUGACAAUUAGAGAUUAUAGUUGCUCAAGCCAUGCUUAAUUAGCUAGGAGUUUAUAAUGGUUUACCUUGCGUGCCAACAUGCUAUUAAAAUGGUUGUGAUGUGGUAUGAUAGGGUGGUAUCCUCCUUUGAACGAUUCGAGUGGCUUGACUUGGCACAUGUUCACACAUGUAGUUGAAACAAACUCAACAUAGCCUCCACGAUAUUUAUGUUCAUGGUGAAUUAUAUCCUACUCAUGCUUGCACUCAGUGUUGAUUAAUUUAAUGCAUGUUCAUGACUAUUGUCUCUCUCUAGCUGGUCGCUUCCCAGUCUCUUUCUAGCCUUCACUUGUACUAAGCGGGAAUACUGUUUGUGCAUCCACUUCCAUAAAACCCAAAGUUGUUUCAUAUGAGUCCACCAUACCUUAAUGCGGUAUCUACCUGCCGUUCCAAGUAAAUUUGUAUGUGCCAAACUCUAAACCUUGAAAUGAAAUUCUAUUUUGUAUGCUCAAAUUGCUCAUGUAUCAACUAGGACUGUCUAUGUCUUCCAUGCUAUGCGGGUUAUUAUCAAGAGGAGUGGACUCCGCUCCUCACUCACGAGAAAAUGGCUGGUAACAGGGAUGGCCAGUCCCAUGCUUAAAUUAAAAUAAUUGCAAACAAAACUCCCCAAGGAUUGUUGUUAGUUGGAGGCACCCGUUGUUUCGGACAAACCAUGGAUUGAUGUUUGUUGGUGGUAGGGGGAGUAUAAACUUUACCAUUCUAUUUGGGAACCGCCUAUAAUGUGUGUAGCAUGGAAGAUAUCGAGAUCUCUCGGUUGUUAUGUUGACAAUGAAAGUAUACCACUCAAUUAUUUAUCUCUAUUUCAAAAUCGAGCUCUGGCACCUCUACAAAUCCCUGCUUCCCUCUGCGAAGGGCCUAUCUGUUUAAUUUUAUGUUGAUUCAUCAUCCUCUUAUUAAAAAGCACCAGUUGGAGAGCAUCGAUGUCAUGUGCAUGUAUUACUAUUAGUUUACAUUGAGUAUGACUGUGAAUGGAUCUCUUUUACCAUGAAUUACAAUGUUUAGUCCUUGAACUUCAGAGGUGCUCUGCAUUUAUGUUUUGCGGCUCAGAAAGGGCUAGUGAGAUACCAUCUUGUUAUAUCAUAUUAUGAUUGUUUUGAGAAAGUGUUGUCAUCCGAGAUUUAUUAUUAUUGCUCACUAGUUGAUUAUGCCAUUGAUAUGAGUAAACAUGAGACCUAAAUGUUAUUGUGAAUAUGGUUAGUUUAUAAUCUUUGCUGAAAACUUGAAUGCUGGCUUUACAUAUUUACAACAACAAGAUCAAACAGAGUUUGUAAAAUUAUUUCUUUAUCACUUUCAGUUUGUCAACUGAAUUGCUUGAGGACAAGCAAAUGUUUAAGCUUGCGGGAGUUGAUACGUCUCCAUCGUAUCUACUUUUCCAAACACGUUUGACCUUGUUUUGGACUCUAACUUGCAUGAUUUGAAUGGAACUAACCCGGAGUGACGCUGUUUUCAGCAGAAUUGCCAUGGUGUUAUUUUUGUGCAGAAAUAAAAGUUCUCGGAAUGACCUGAAACUUCACGGAGAAUAUUUUUGGAAUAUAUAAAAAAUACUGAUGAAAGAAUCAACGUCAGGGGGCCCACACCUUGUCCACGAGGGUGGGGGCGCGCCCCCUAUCUCGUGGGCCCCCUGAGGCUCCACCUACCUCGACUCCAACUCUAUAUAUUCACGUUCAGGGAGAAAAAACCAAGGAGAAGGAUUCAUCGCGUUUUACGAUACGGAGCCGCCGCCAAGCCCUAAUCUCUCUAGGGAGGGCUGAUCCGGAGUCCGUUCGGGGCUCCGGAGAGGGGAAUCCGUCGCCAUCAUCAUCAUCAACCUUCCUCCAUCACCAAUUUCAUGAUGCUCACCGCCGUGAAUGAGUAAUUCCAUCGUAGGCUUGUUGGACGGUGAUGGGUUGGAUGAGAUUUAUCAUGUAAUCGAGUUAGUUUUGUUAGGGUUUGAUCCCUAGUAUCUAUUAUGUUCUGAGAUUGAUGUUGCUAUGACUUUACUAUGUUUAAUGCUUGUCACUAGGGCCCGAGUGCCAUGAUUUUAGAUCUGAACCUAUCAUGUUUUCAUGCAUAUAUGUGAGUUCUUGAUCCUAUUUUGCAAGUCAAUAGUCACCUACUAUGUGUUAUGAUCCGGUAACCCCGAAGUGACAAUAAUCGGACCACUCCCGGUGAUGACCGCAGUUUGAGGAGUUCAUGUAUUCACUAAGUGUUAAUGCUUUGGUUCGGUACUCUAUUAAAAGGAGGCCUUAAUAUCCCUUAGUUUCCAAUAGGACCCCGCUGCCACAGGAGGGUAGGACAAAAGAUGUCAUGCAAGUUCUUUUCCAUAAGCAUGUAUGACUAUAUUCAGAAUACAUGCCUACAUUACAUUAAUGAACUGGAGCUAGUUCCGUGUCACCCUAUGUUAUAACUGUUGCAUGAGGAAUCGUAUCCGACAUAAUUAUCCAUCACUGAUCCAAUGCCUACGAGCUUUUCACAUAUUGAUCUUUGCUUAGUUACUUUUCCGUUGCUACUAUUAGAAUCACUAUAAAACCAAUACUGUUACUUUUGCCAUCGUUACCGUUACUUCCAUAUUACUUUGCUACUAAAUACUUUGUUGCAGAUAUUAAGUCUUUCAGGUGCUGUUGAAUAGACAACUCAACUGUUAAUACUUGAGAAUAUUCUUUGGCUCUCCUUGUGUCAAAUCAAUAAAUUUGGGUUGAAUACUCUACCCUCGAAAACUGUUGUGAUCCCCUAUAUACUUGUCGGUUAUCAACUGGGGAUGAACAAGUACAAGGUAAGAACAACCUCCUGAGGAGAGGCGUUCUCGAGCUCGAUGAGCUUGUGUGGUUGGGGAUGAUCCGAAUGAUCCGUCCAAGAUCUGUCCUCUCAAGAUCCGUCCUCGAUGAGAUGAGAUCCCCCGUCUAUGGUGGUGGCUAGUCCUAUUUAUAGAGGUCCGGGUCCUCUUCCCAAAUAUUUAGGUGGGAAGGGAUCCCACAAUGGCCAGUUUGAAGGGGGAUAGCUAGUACAAGCUAUCAUGAGAAAAGGUGGUCUUCGCCUGCCAAAGGCUCUGGUGGUGACACUGUCGUGGGAUCCGUGGUGACCUCCGUCCUGCCAUCCUGCUGGUCUUGGUCUCAUUGCACCAAUAUGGAAACCUUUGCCUGAUGCCUCAGGACUCCUCGUCUGCGCCUGCCCCUUUAGCACCAAAGCGGAAACCGGUACUCUACGCGCACUGGCGCCCGCCUGGCCUUGGUCAUCAUAGCUCACGCCAUGGGAACCUCGUGAGGUGCCCCUCGCCUUGAUCUCUCUGCUCCUCACGAGCCAUCCUAGUGAGUCUGCCCCUGAGGAGGUCUUGUGUCGUCCACCUCACGAGGCUUGGCCCCUCACGAGGGUCUUGAGUGUUUGCUGAUGAAGAUGGGCCAUACCAGGCCGCUGGAUGAGCCAUGCCCCGGGCCGCAGGCAGGCAAGUCUGGGUACCCUCGUUCCCAGAACGACGACAAGCAUCCCCAAGCUUAACUCCUACUCGUCCUCGAGUAGGUAAGUGAUAAAAACACAUUUUUUGAUGUGAAAUGCUGCCUAUCAUGUCAUAUCAUAUUCUAUUCUUUAUAGCAUGGACAAUUGGACUUUUAGUUGUUCAAAGCAAUAGUCUAGUUUUGACAUGAUAAUUUAGAUACUCAAGUAUAUCAACAAGCAACCAUGUCUUUCAAAAUAUCAACGCUAAAAUAAGUUAUCCCUAGCCCAUCAUGCUCAAACAUUGAUCCAUUCAUGAAACACACUCGAAUAUUAGCUACACCCAAUACUUAAGUAUGAUCAUAUUGCCUCCUAGUUGGUGCUUUUAUAAGAGAAGAUGGAGACUCAAAAUAAAAAUUGCAUAAAUUAAAAGAAAGGCCCUUCACAGAGGGAAGUAGGGAUUUGUAGUGGUGCCAGAGCUCAAAGCGAAAAACUUAGAGAUAAAAACAUUUUGAGAGGUGUAUCCAUCCCACCAACGAAAACGACUUAGAGUUCCUAAUACUUUCCAUGCAUAGAUAUAUCAUAGGCGAUUCCCAAAUAGAAAAUAAAGUUUAUUCCUUUUUCCACCAUACUUUCACUUUCCAUGGCUAGCCGUAUCCACAGUUGCCCUCCAUUCCAACACUUUCCAAGGAAUUUAUUAUCUUACAACAUAAAGUAAAUUCAUUUUUGCAUUUAGGGUCUGGGCAUCCCUAAUACCUUUGCCUUACUCUCGUGCAAUGACAAGUAAAUAAACAAUCAUCUUGAGAAUAACACAUCUAGCAUGGAAAAUAUUAGCCACCCCUCACCGCUUCGCGAGCGAAACAAACACACAAAAGAGAAGUUUAUUUUGAAAAUUAGAGAUGGCACAUGCAAAUUUGCUUACAAGGCAAAAGAAUACCGCAUAUAGGUAGAUAUAAUGGACUCAUGUGGCAAAACUAGGUUAAAGGUUUUUGGAUGCACAAGUAGUGAUCAUACUUAGUGCAAAAUGAAGGCUAGCAAAAUAUUGGGAAGCGACCAACUAAGAAACGAAUAAUCUCAUAAGCAAGCAUUAAACAUAAAAAACACCGAAUAAUGCACCAUAAGUAGGAUAUAAUUUCAUUGCAUGAGUGUUGACUUCCGUACUUGCAUAGCCUUAACACCAAUAUUCUUACUAAAGCAUAAUUACUCAUCAAGAUGACUCACAUGUCACAUCAUCAUAUCUCAAAACUAUUACUAAGAAUCAAGUUUAUUUUGUCCAAUGAUCUUCAUGAAAGUUUUUAUUAUAUCCUUCUUGGAUAUCUAUCACUUUGGGACUAAUUUUCAUGUGUUGCUUUUGACAAGCUCCAACAAAUAUAAGUGAAGAUCAUGAGCAUAAUAAAUUUUUCUUUCUCUCAAAUUAAUUUAAGUGAAGCAAGAGAGAAUUACUUGAAAAUUUUACUAACUCUCAAAUUAAUCUAAGUGAAGCAAGAGAGCAUUUCUUCAAAAAUACUAAAGCACACCGUGCUCAAAAAGAUAUAAGUGAAGCACUAGAGGAAGUCCAUUGCUCAUAAAAAUUGAAGUGAAGCAUAGAGAGCAAUUUUAACAAGUCAUGACAUAAUUUUGGCUCUCUCAAAUAGGUGUGUCCAGCAAGGAUUGAUGACUUAAAACACAGAAUAAAACAAGCAAAGACUCAUAUCAUACAAGACGCUCCAAGCAAAACACGUAUCAUGUGACGAAUAAAAAUAUAGUUUCAAGUAAAAUACCGAUGAUCGUUGGAAGAAAGCGGGGAUGCCACUCGGGGGCAUCCCCAAGCUUAGUUGGUUGCUCAUUUUUGGAUAAUAGCUUGGGAUGCUGGGGCAUCCGCAAGAUUAGGCUCUUCCAUCCUUCCUUCAUCCAUCGUAAGAUAACCCAAAACUUGAAAACUUCAAUCACACAAAACUCAACAAAACCUUCGUGAGAUCCGUUAAUAUAAGAAUAAUAAAUCACUACUAUAAGUGUUGUAUCAAACCAAUUCAUAUUUUGUCUUUGUAUUAUAUCUAAUGUAUUCCAAAAAUUUUGUGGCAAAAACUCAUCAAAUAAAAACAUAGAGCCAUCAAAAUAAGCACACAACACAAAGAAAACAGAAUCUGUCAAAACAGAACAGUAUGUAGCAAUCUAACUAUUUCGAAUACUUCUGUAACUCCAAAAGUUCUGAAAUAUUAGGAAGGCCUGAGAACUUUGUAUAUUGAUCUAACGCAAGUGGAAUGGGUAUUUUAUCGCUCUCUGGUAAAAGAUGAAAAUUAAUGUCGUGAGCGUAAAAGUUUCUAUUUUUCAGCAAGAUCAAACAACUAUCACCCAAGAAGAUCCUAAAGGCUUUACUUGGCACAAACACUAAUUAAAACAUAAAAAAUACAAUCAUAUUAGUAGCAUAAUUGUGUUAACACACACAAACAGGAAGCAAAAAGCAAAAAUAAAAUUUAUUCGUUGGGUUGCCUCUCAACAAGCGCUAUAGUUUUAUGCCUUAGCUAGGCAUAAAGCAAGGAUCUAAGUUUUGUUAUCUUUGGUUCGAGAUCCAUAAGAUUCCUUCAUGAUUGAUUCAUAAGGUGGAUUAAUUAUUGUUCUAGGAAAGUGUUCCAUACCCUUCCUCAAAGGAAAUUGGAACUUAAUAUUACCUUCUUUCAUAUCAAUCAUGGCACCGAUAGCACGUAAAAACGGUCUACCAAGAAUAAUUGUACAAGACAGAUUGCAAUCAAUAUCAAGAAAAAUAAAAUCUAUGGGCACAUAAUUCCUAUUUGCAAGAAUAAGAUCAUCAUUAAUUCUUCCCAUAGGCUUUUUAAUAGCAGAAUCUGCCAAGUGCAAAUUCAAAGAACAUUCUUCAAGAUUAGUAAGACUAAGCACAUCACAUAAAGAUUUCGGAAUUGUAGAAACACUAGCACCCAAGUCACACAAAGCAAAACACUCAUAAUUUUUAAUCUUGACUUUGAUAGUAGGUUCCAAUUCAUCAUGCAAUUUCCUAGGAAUUGAAACUUCCAAUUCCAAUUUUUCUUCAAGAGCUUUCAUCAUAGCAUCAACAAUAUGUUUAGUAAAAGCUUUAUUUUGUUCAUAAGAUGGGGUGAAUUUAUAAUGGAUUUCAACAAAGAAAUAAAAUCAAUCAAAGAGCAACUAUCAUAAUUAAAGUCUUUAUAAUCCAAAAGAGUGAGUACAUCACUAGCUAAAGUUUUGACCUCUCCAAACCCACUUUCAUCAAUUUUCUCAACAAGAUUUUCACCCUCUGAAAUAUUGAGACGCCUUCUACCUAAAGUUGACUCUUCUCCAGUCCCUUUUUCAUCAAUAUUAACUUUACUAAACAAGGAAUCAAUAGAAGAAACACCAAUCAUUUUAAGAUCUUCAUCACUUUUGCAAAACAAAUCGCUAGAAAACGCUUUUUCUAAAAAUUCUCUUUUAGCUCUAAGCAUAGCGGUUCUUUUCUUAUUUUCAUCCAUAGAAACAUAAAGAGCUUUAAUCGAUUCAUCAAAAUUAGGCACAAAAAAUUUCAUCUUGAGAUUUUCCACAUCAUGAGAAAUUCUAUCAACACUUCUAGACAAAUCAUCAAUCUUACUCAACUUUUCUUCUAUGGAAGUGUUGAAAACUUUUUGUGUAUUGAUAAAUUCUUUAAUAUUAUUCUCAAGAUCAAAGGUGUUCCUAUUAUUAUUAUAAGAUUGACUUCCAUAGGAAUUACCAUAAUUAUUAGAGGAAUUACCAGGAAAAGGCCUAGGAUUAAAAUUACGUCUAUAAGCAUUGUUGUUGAAAUUAUUUCGAGAGAUAAAAUUCACAUCUAUGGCAUCACUAUUUUGCUCAAUCAAAGUAGACAAAGGCAUAUCAUUAAGAUCAAUAGGAACAUUUCUACUAGCAACCAAUUUCACAAGAGCAUCAACUUUUUCAGUCAAAGAAGAAAUUUCUUCAAUUGAAUUAAUGUUUUUACUAGUAGGAGCUCUCUUAGUAUGCCAUUGCGAAUAAUUUGCCAUAAUAUUAUCAUGAAAUUUGGUGGCUUCACCCAAAGUAAUUUCCAUAAAAGUACCACCCGCGGCGGAAUCUAAAAGAUUACGAGAAACAAAAUUCAACCCCGCAUAAAAAUUUUGUAUGAUCAUCCAAAGAUUUAACCCAUGAGUUGGGCAAUUCCUUAGCAUCAUUUUCAUCCUUUCCCAAGAUUGUGCAAUAUGCUCAUGUUCAAGUUGCUUGAAAUUCAUGAUCUGGGUUCUAAGGGAAAUAAUUUUUGCGGUAGGAAAAUACUUAGUGAUAAAAGCAUCUUUGCACUUAUUCCAAGAAUCGAUACUAUUGCGAGGCAAAGAAGAGAACCAAUUUUUUGCAGAAUCACACAAAAAAAA
RNAcentral lists this long non-coding RNA (87813 nucleotides) under Triticum aestivum (bread wheat). RNAcentral's name for it is "long non-coding RNA (TAES_LNC021875)". Lineage: Eukaryota; Viridiplantae; Streptophyta; Magnoliopsida; Poales; Poaceae. The record is from RNAcentral.